Molecule: long non-coding RNA, 50074 nt
Filed under: Capsicum annuum
Lineage: Eukaryota; Viridiplantae; Streptophyta; Magnoliopsida; Solanales; Solanaceae
Description: long non-coding RNA (CANN_LNC013378)
Source: RNAcentral
CGUAGGUGUUGUUGGUAUGUGAGGGUAUGUUAUUACUAGGUGGGGGCCUAUUUCUUAUUUCUUAGUUAGUGUUGCCUUUAUUUCUCAUAUUUUCGUUUUUUCUCUGGUUUCAUUUCUAUGAUUUCUUAUUCUUGUUUUUUCUGUUGUGUCAGCCAUCCUCCUUGUUUAUUAGUCUUUAUCUUGAGCCGGGGGUCUAUCAGAAACAGCCUCUCUACUUCUUCGGUGGUAGCGGUAUGGAUUGCGUAUAUCUUAUCCUCCCCAGACCCCACUUCGUGGGAAAACACUGGGUUUGUUGUUAUUGCUGUUGUUGCAACAUCAAUAAAAAUACCUUAUUUAGGUUCCAAAAUCUUUAAAAUGCAGCUAAAAGAUCCUCUUUUUUCUCCAAUUACCUAACUUUGAGCCAAAAAGUCCUCUUUUUCCUCCAAUUACAUCAACUUGAAGCUAAAAAUGGAUGGAAAAUUGGGUGUUCAACAAAAGAUUCAAGUACCCCAAAUUGGGUUUCAGUAAAAACUUUUGAGGGCUCAGAUUUUGCUGUACUACAAACAUGCAAAAGAGAAACCAAACCAACACACGCCAUGGCUGCAAGAAACCAGUUUGCAAAUGGAUACCUUACCGGGUCGCCCCGCCAAGAUACGGGUCGGUUCUUCUCAAUGCAGUGGAGUAGAUUAUUCGCCCAGAAAGAAACAAAUCAUCAUCACAGCCCAUUUUUCCUAAUUCUUGAAAAAACAUCUUUAUAUAUACAUACAUACAUAUACAUAUAUCGCAUUUCUGCAUGCAUGGAUCUUGAUUUUGCUUUUUUUUUUUUUUCAAAGGGCUGUUGUUUUUUUUUCUUUUUUAAUUUUAUGAAUGGAGAAGACAUCAUGGACAUAUUGAGAGAUUGAGAGGGGAAACCACCCUUUACAGAAAAUCCCUUAUUUUUUCUCUCUGAUGUCUCAAUUCUUGCUUUCUGGGCUAUAGAGUGGUGAGUGUUUCCAGCUAAACAGCAGUAAUAGACUCUCUCUCUCUUAUAUAUAUGUGUGUGUGUAUAAAACUAAUGAGAUGUUUGCCAUUUUUCGAUUCACCUUCAGGUUCAUCUAGUCACUGCAAUAGUUUCCUCCAUUGCGAUACACAGAAAAAUCUUAGGGACAAUUGAGGCUCAGACCUGUAUUUAUGCUCAGGCAAAGAAAGUCCAGCAACGGCAUGGCUGCAAAUACCUCUAGUUGCAUGCAACAAUAUCACAUGCAACCUGGUCAUUGCCCCUCCAAGAUAGAGUCCGUACUGAAAGAUCAUCACCGCCUACAUAAGAGACUAUUUUGGACAUUCUCUCAUGAUAUGUAUGUCUGUAUGUAUGUUUGUGUGUGUAAGAUACAGACAAUAUACAUCUGCAUCAUGUACAAAAGGAGGCUCAGAUGUCAAUUUAAUCAAGCAUCGAAUCCACCAGAAACCACCAUGGCUGCUACCUCUUCAGGUUACCCAGCCAAGAAUACGGCUCUUAACAUCUCAACGCGCAAUUCAUAUUGCUCAAAAAAAGUAUCAUCAUCACAGCCAUAAAUUCUCCCUGUUCUUACAGUGAUAUCUUACUAUUUGGUUGAUAACACAAUAAAUCACCAUCAUGAACAAAAGAAAAGGAAGAAGAUGCAACAACAACAUGGAAUUUUCAAAAAUAACAUGGGUUUCCACUCGUGAAGACCUUAGGUUCAGAAUUCAGAAAGUCCAGAAAAACUAGCUCGAGAUUGAGGCUCAGACCUGCAAGAAAAUGGGGCAAAGAGAAGGGAACACCACCAGUGCUGCAAAAGAACCAGUUGCAUGUGACAGAGGAGGUCUCGAUCACAAACCAUCCACGUUUGCCCUGCCAAGAAAAUGGGUCGGAUGGUCUCCAUGCCCCUGAAUAUCAGCCAGUAUUAGCAAGAUCAUCACUGCCUAUUUUGAAAAAUGAAAACUUUUUCACAGUAGACUCUGGACAAUUCCACACAACUUUUGAUUAAUAAACGUUAAAAUCAUAGGAUGUUUGGUUUUAGCUCCUUGAAAUAAAAAACUAGUAGUGGUACGUUUGAAGAGGGUUGUUGGUUUGGUUGAUGGAAAAAUCAUAGACCAAGCAGAGGGGGCAACCACCCUCACAAGAAUUCCCUCUUCUUACUGUUGGCCUCAUUCUUCAUGCUGAGCUGAACAUCCAUUUUGUGAAGUAAAACACACACUCAUUCCCCCGGGAAAAUUCUCAUUGUUGUGCAGAAGACUUCUUUAGAGCUCAGACAUUGCUGUAUAUGAUCAUGCAAAGAGAAAGUGCCACAACAUGGCUGCAGACACCGGUUUACAGACAACGCCAUACCGGAUUGCCCCACCAAGAUACGGGUCAGAUUUUCUCAAAGCAGUAAACUAGAUGCCCAGAACGAAGCAAUCAUCAUCAUAGCCCAUUUUCAGGUGAUCUGCGACGACCAACGUAGAUAUGACACCAGGUAACCAUGUGGUCGCGACAGAAGCAAAGGAAGAACGUAGCCCCUUUUUACAGAGGAAUACACAAGGGGUGUUGGUUUAAUGAAUGGGAAAAUCAUGGACAUAACAGAGAGGGGCAACCACCCAUUACAGAAAAUCCCAUCUCUCUAACGUCUAAUUCUUCCUUUCUGGGCUUAACUGCCAGGAUUUUGCUAAACCCUCCAAACUACAAAAAAGGGCAACCCGGUGCAUUAAAGCCCCCACUGUGCGCAGGGCCAAGGGCCCCACCACAAGGGUGUACUGUACGCAUUCUUACCUUGCAUUUCUGCCAAAGGUUGUUUCCAAGGCUUGAACCCAUGACCUCCUUAUCACAUGGCAGCAACUUUACCAUUUACUCCAAGGCUACCCUUCAAACCCUCUAAACUACUGUUUCUGAUUUAAUAAUUAUGGACAUCCUCAGCAGGUUACCUGUUCGGUCUCUUUUUCGUUUCAAAUGUGUUUUAAGUUUUUGGAAGACAUUGAUCUCGGAGCCUUAGUUUAAGCUGAAGCAGAAGCAUCUAUGUCAGGCCAUAACGACCAAAAUCUCCCCCAAAAAAAAAAAAAAUUUGGAGUCUUCUGAAGUAAAACACACUGAUAUAUAAGAGAAAACUUAACCGAAGAGACCCCUUAAGUCUACAUUUAAGAGACUAAUCCUCCUAAUUUUAUGCUUUCAAUGCUAAUUUACCUGAAAAUGCAGCCAUGCAGGAGCAGGGUAGUCAUAGAUAGAUAUUUAGACAGACACAGACAUACAAUAUAUAUAUAUAUACACACACACACAUAUACAUGUGCAAAAGAGGCUGUUGAUUAGAGCAAAAAAGAAUCACUGGCAUGCCGGAGAUGGCCAACCACCCUGAAAAAUCCCAUUUUUCUCCAAUUGCCUCAUUUUUGAGCUAAAAGAGUUGGGGGAGAAAAGCAUCUGAAAUGGCGUGUUCAGGAAACAAGUGUAGAACCCAAUUGGGUUUUCCAGGUCCUGAGAAUGACCAUCCAAUUCAAGACCAUCAAAUGGUAGGCGUAAAACGUUUAGGGAUCAAACUUUCCUUUUCUAUGAACAUGCAAAGAGAAAGUGACCACACCAUGGCUGCAGACACCCGUUUGCAAAGAGAAAGUGACCACCCAGAAAAAUCCCAUUUUUACUCCGAUUACCUCAUUUUUUUAGCGAAAAUUUGAUAGAGCAACUGCAUGUAAAAUGGAGUGUUCAAGAAAAACUCAAGAACCCAACUUGGGUAUCUCACUUCCCAAGAAACCAACACAUGCCAUGGCUGCUGUACACCGGUUAGCAGGUCGCUCCGCAAAGAUAUGGGUCGAAUUUUGUCAACACAGUCGAAUCUUUUUCCUCCAGUUACAUCUACUUUAAGCUAAAAAAGGAUGGAAAAUUGGGUGUUCAACAAAAAAUUCAAGAACCCAACAUUGGGUUUUACCGUAAAAAUUUUUGAGGGCUCAGAUUUUGCUGUACUACAAACAUGCAAAAGAGAAACCAGCACACGCCAUGGCUGCAAGACACCAGUUUGCAAAUGGAUACCUUACCGGGUCGCCCCACCAAGAUACGGGUCGGAUCUUCUCAAUGCAGUGAAGUAGAUUAUUAGCCCAGAAAGAAACAAAUCAUCAUCACGGCCCAUUUUUCCUUAAUUCUUGAAAAAACAGCCAUCUUUAGGUAUACAUGUAUAUAGAUUUAUAAUAAAAAAGAGAUAGGCAUCCAGUACCAACUCGAACUAUCACCCUUUUUUGCACUGAUGUGGAACCUUUAUUACAUAAAAUGGGGCCCACGUCAAAGGUGUCAUGUCAGCUAAAAAGGUUGACAAAAAGUGUCACGUCCGCUAAAAAGGCCGACAAAAAAUAUGUUAAAUUUAGUUCGGGGGUAAUAGGGACCCCGUGAAGUUGGAGUGUGUCGUAGCAAAUUCGAUCAUAGUUCAGGGGGUAUUAGAUGCUUUACUCUAGAAAAAAUGGAAUUUCUGCAUCCAUGCUUCUUGAUUAUGCUUUUCGUUUUCAAAGGGCUGUUGAUUUUGUUUUUAAAAACAAAAAUGGAGAAGAAAUCAUGGACAUAUUGAGAGAUUGAGAGGGGCAACCACCCUUUACAGAAAAUCCCUUUUUCUCUCUCUCUAUGAUGUCUCAAUUCUUGCUUUCUGGGCUAAAGAGUGUUGACUGUUUCCAGCUAAACAGUAGUAAUAGAAUACAUAUAUACAUAUAUAGUUAGAGCUCAGACUUUGCUGUAUAUGAUCAUGCAAAGAGAAAGUGACACACCAUGGCUGCAGACACCGGUUUAAAGAUAACGCCAUACGAGGUCGCCCCACCAAGAUAUGGUCAGAAUUUCUCAAAGCAGCAAUCAUCAUCACAGCCUAUUUUCAGGUGAUCUGCGAUGAUCAACGAAGAUAUGACACCAGGUAUCUAAGUGGUCGCAGCUUUAGCAGAGAAAGGAAGAGCAUAGCCCUUUUUACAGAGGAAUACACAAGCGGUGUUGUUGAGAUGGUUCAUCAAUUAUCAUUUGCCUCUACUCUUUUGUCUUUUCUCAAAGGGUUGUUGGUUUUACGAAUUGGAAAAUCAUGGACAUAGCAGAGAGGGGCAACCACCCUUUACAGAAAACCCCAUCCCUCUAUCGUCUCAUUCUUCCUUUCCGGGCUUAACUGCGGGGAUUUUGCUAAACCCUCUAUGUUACUGUUUCUGCUUAAAUAAUUAUGGACAUCCUCAUCAGGUUACCUGUACGGUCUCUUUUUUGUUUCAAAUGUGUUUUAAGUUUUCGGAAGACAUUAAUCUCUGAGCCUUAGUUUAAGCUGGAAGCAGAAGCAUCUAUAACAUGCCAAUAAUAACCAAAAUUUAAAAAAAAAAAAAAAAAGAAGGAAAUCUUGUGAAGUAAAACACACUGAUUUGUAAGAGAAAAGUUAACCAAGGAGACCCCUAAGUCUACAUUUAAGAAACUAUUCCUCCCAAUUUUAUGCUUUCAAUGCUAAUUUGCCUGAAAAUGCAGCGAUGCAGGAGCAGGAUAGUGAUAGGUAGAUAUAGACGGACACAGACAUACAAUAUAUAUAUACACACACACAUACAUAUGUAAAAGAGGGCUGUUGAUUAGAGCAAAAAGAAAUCAUUGGCAUACCGGAGAUGGUCAACCGCCCUGAAAAAUCCCGAUUUUUCUCCAAUUGCCUUAUUUUUGAGCUAAAAAGUUGAUGGAAAACAGCAUCUGAAAUGGGGUGUUCAGGAAAAAGGUGUAGAACCCAAUUGGGUUUUCCAGGUCCUGAGAACAACCAUCCAAUUCAAGACCAUCAAAUGGUUGUGCAAAUCUUUUAGGGCUCAAAUUUUCCUUUUCUAUGAACAUGCAAAGAGAAAGUGACCAUGCCAUGGCUGCAGACACUGGUUUGCAAAUGAUGCCAUACCAGGUUGCCCCGCCAAAUUACGGAAAAGAUUUUAUCAACGCUGUGUAGUGGGGGGAAGUACACAGUCAGUCGUUGUUAGGACCCCUAUGUAAAGAUCAGUUGGAAGUUGAGGCUCAGAUCUGUGUAAAAUGCAGCAAAGAGAAGACGACAACGCCAUGGCUGCAAAAUGAACCGAUUGCAUGAUUCAAUUUCACCCUGCCAAGAUACGAGUCGGGUUUUCUCCAUGCCUCAAAUAUCAGCCCAGAUUAGCAACAUCGUCACUGUCUCUCGGAUACUGAAAACUUCUUCACUGUCAUUUUGGACAGUUUCGAGACACAAAAUGAAUGGAGGGAGUACUAUUGAUGUCAGCAUCACAUCAAUGGCAACAGAUAUUUGCCUUCUUUUUAGGACAAAACCAAAACCAAAACCAAACCAUGAACACCCCAAAAUAUACCAAAGAAAAAAAAAUGAAAACAGAGGUUGAUGGAGAAAUAUACCAAACAAGCCAUCCUGGUUUUCCAUGCCAACCUACAGGUCAGCAAUAUCAUCACUGCCUCUUCCGAAAAUGGGAACUUUUCCAUAAGAGCCUGUUCGGACAAUUUCAGCAAUGGGUGUCUAAUAGACACAGUUUGGCUCUACGUGUUCAAACCACCCUUAGUUGGAUGUCCAAAUGAAAGCUUUCAGCAAGUUUGAGGGACAAUCAAUGUAUUCAGUCCUAUCAAAAUGACUUGAGGCUCAGAUAAGUGAUUAACCCCGGCAAUGAGUUCUCUGACACUGCCAUGGCUGCAAACCCGAUAAUACGGGUUGCCCCGCCAAGAUACAGGUCUGAAACAACAGUGCCAGGUUCCAUAUUCUCAAUAACAAUCAAGCGUCAAAGCCCUAUCAUUAGAAAAUUAAUUAAUGGAAGAAAAUAUAGGUACUGUUGGGAGUUGACUUUACAGGUUGGGUGCUUGGAAGUGAAUCUUGCAGACCAAACAGUAUUGUAAUAUUAUUCUUCAAGUCCUGGGCCGUCCAGGUGGAUUAGUUGGAUAUUGAGGCUCAGAUCUGCAAAAAAUGGGGCAAAGAGAAGGCGACAGCACCAUGGCUGCAAAAGAACCAGUUGCAUGUAUAAGAGAAGACUCGAGCACAAGCCAUCCAGGUUUGCCAUGCCAAGAUACGGGUCAGAUUGCCUCCAUUCCCCAAAUAUCAGCCUAUAUUAGCAAUACCAUCACUGCUUCUUUCGGAAAAGAUGGAAACUUUUCCCUUAGAGCCCGUUUGAAUGACUUCAACAGGAAAAAUUAAUAAAACAAACAGAAGACCUUAGCUUAAAAUGAUAACCUUCAACAUCCAAUCACCAACAUUGAAGCUGAGGGCAAUAAACAGUUUCUUGUUUCCAGUUUUGCAGAGGGUUGUUGGAACGAUUAAAGGAGAAAUCAUUGGCCAAUCAGCGGAGACAACCACCCUCCAAAGAAAUUCCUUUUUUCUCACUGUUGGCCUCAUUAUUCACACAGGGCUGAGCUUCCAUUACUCAUCCGGACUUUCCCUGUCAGGAUACAAAACUAAACCGAACUAUGUACACCCCAUACCAUACCAUACCAAGGGAAACCACCUUCCAAACAAAGUGUAAAUAUACCAAUGAAAAAAAAGCUUAUUGGUUGGCUUCAUUUUUCCUUUUGGGCUCAGAUAUUUAAUUUGUAUGAGGCAUUGAGUUAUUAGAAACCGCCAUGGCUACAAACCCUAUAACUUGGGUCGCCCUGCCAAGAUACGGGCCUGAAUCAACAAUACCUGAUUUCAUUUGCUCAGUAAAAGUAUCAUCACAGCCUCGUUAUUAUCCUUUUCAAUUUCAUUGUUGUAUGCUUUUGCUGUUGCUUUUUCAGGAAAACAUAGCUUCAGAGGAAGAGAGUGACAGUAGCAGAAGCAAAGAGAGAAUGAUCCAAAAAGGUCCUAAACAUUACUUAGAGCUAAAAGAUACUAGAAAUCAUAGGCGUGAUGAAAAUGGUCAACAACCCGGAAAAUCCAGAUAACUUCCCAUUUUUUGUCCAACUGCCUCAUUCUUUUAGCUAAAAUUUGGCGGAGAACACCAUCAGGUGUUCAAGAAAAAGUGAACAACCUAAAUGGUGUUCACCAAACCACAGGUCCUGGGUUAGUAUCCUGAACUGUCCAGAAGGACUAGUUGGAAAUCGAGGCUCAGAUCUGCAGCAAAUGGGGAAAAGAGAAUGUGACAACGCCAUGGCUGCAAAGGAACCGGUAGCAUGUGAAAGAGAAGACUCAAUCACAAACAAUCCGGAUUUGCCAUGCCAAGAUAAGGGUCAGAUUGUCUCCACGCCCAAACAUCAGCCCAGAUUAGCAAUAUCAUCAUAGCCUCGUGUGAAAGAUGGGAACAUUCCCACAAGUAGGCAUUUGGACAACAGAGUAAAUUUUAACAAACAUAAGUGCACAUUUCAUGAGCAGGGGGUCUACUUGAAACUACCUCUCUACCCAGCAAUGUAAGAGAGACAGAAAGAGACGUGCAAUAUUACACACGCAGAAAGACCAUACAUAUGCUAAGAGGGCAUUAUUAGAGCUAACAAAAAUCACUGAGAGAUGGUCAACCACCCUGAAAAAUCCCCGUUUUUCUCCAUUUACCACAUUUUUGGAGCUAAAAAUUGAUGAAGACUGCAUCUGAAAUUUGGUGUUCAAGAAAACAGAAACAAUAAUUGGGUUUUCCAGUUCCACUGAAGACCCAUUAAACUUUUGGGGCUCAGAUUCUGCAGUAUAUCAACAUGAACGAGAAAGCAACACAAGCCAUGGCUGCAUACACCGGUUUGCAGAUGGAUGCCCGACCAGGUUGCCCUGCCAAGAUACAGGUUGGACCUUUAUUACAUACAACAGGGCCCAUGUCAAAGGUGCCAUGUUAGCUAAAAAGGAUGACAAAAUACGCCAAAAUUUAGUUGGGGGGGUAAUAGGACCCCCAUGAAGUUGAAGCAUUUCACUUCAUACCAAAGACACCCUAAAUAGCACUACAAUACUCCACUACGUGGCUCCUAAGCUGGGGAUUUAUUAUUUGUUUAUUGAUUAGUCCACAAAGUAUCAGUUGCAGGCAGCUAAUAUAUAUAAAAAAAAAAUUGAUUGGUACAGAAAAUUGGCCAAGUUCUUUCUUUAAUAUAUCAAUGAGGUAUAUCUCUAAAUAAUUUCAUAAAUGAGCUCUGAGAAAAGUCAAAGUAUAUGCAGAUAUUGUCUAUAAUCAUCUUUUAAUAACUUUUGAGGGCUCAGAUUAUGCUGUACUACAAACAUGCAAAAGAGAAACCAAACCAACACAGGCUGCAAGACACCAGUUUGCAAAUGGAUACCUUACCGGGUCGCCCCGCCAAGAUACGGGUUGGAUCUUCUCAAUGCAGUGAAGUAGAUAAUUAGCCCAGAAAGAAACAAAUCAUCAUGACGGACCAUUUUUCCGAAUUCUUGAAAAAACAGCUAUCUUUAUAUAUACAUGUAUAUAGAUUUAUAAUAAAAAAAAGAGAUAACCAUCCAGUACAAACUCGAACUAUCGCCCUUUUGCACUGACAUGGCACCUGUAUUACAUAAAAUGGGGCCCACAUCAAAGGUGUCAUGUCAGCUAAAAAGGUUGACAAAAAGUGUCACAUUAGCUAAAAAGGUUGACAAAAAAUAUGUUAAAUUUAGUACAAAGGGGUAAUAGGACCCCGUGAAGUUGGAGUGUGUCAUAGCAAAUUUGGUCAGUACAUGGGGUACUUAGAUGCUUUUCUCUAAAAAAAAAUGGAAUUUCUGCAUGCAUGCUUGUUGAUUAUGCUUUUCUUUUUCAAAGGGCUAUUGUUUUUUUUAAAAAAAAAAAAGAAUUUAUGAAUGGAGAAGAAAUCAUGGACAUAUUGAGAGAUUGAGAGGGGCAACCACCCUUUACAGAAAAUCCCCUUUUUUCUCUCUCUUCGAUGUUUCAAUUCUUGCUUUCUGGGCUAAAGAGUGGUGAGUGUUUCCAGGUAAACAGUAGUAAUAGAAUAUAUAUAUAGUUACCAACAUGGGUUGUGGUGCUGCGGAUGGGGCUGCUCCACCCUUAACCAGAGGUCGAGGGUUCGACCCUGGGCAUGGAGAAAACUCUGUUGGGAGCGCUACCCACGACUGGGGCCCUACCCGGCGCGAAUCCAGAUUAGUCGGGCUCCAAUGCGGGUACCAGACACCGGAUGGGAAACCAAAGAAAAAAAAAAAAAGAAAAAGAAUAUAUAUAGUUAGAGCUCAGACUUUGUUGUAUAUGAUCAUGCAAAGAGAAAGCGACACACCAUGGCUGCAGACACCGGUUUAAAGACAACGCCAUACCAGGUCGCCCCACCAAGAUAUGGGUCAGAUUUUCUCCAAGCAGUAAACUAGAUAGCACAGAAAGAAGCAAUCAUCAUCACAGCCCAUUUUCAGGUGAUCUGCGAUGAUCAACGAAGAUAUGACACCAGGUAUCUAAGUGGUCGCAGCAGAUGCAGAGAAAGGAAGAGCAUAGCCUUUUUUUCGGAGGAAUACACAAGCGGUGUUGUUGAGAUGGUUUAUCAAUUAUCAUUUGCCUCUACUCUUUUGUCUUUUCUCAAAGGGUUGUUAGUUUUACGAAUGGGAAAAUCAUGGACAUAACAGAGAGGGGCAACCACCCUUUACUGAAGCAGAGAGGCUGUGUCCGAUAGACCCCCGGCUUAGAACGAUAACAGUAUAACAAACCCAAAAGAUAAGUGCAUAUAAAGUAGUAUGGCAUGCAAAAUAAACUAACACCGCUAGCCACAAGAUUGGGUUUUACAGUAAAAACUUUUGAGGGCUCAGAUUUUUCUGUGCUACAAACAUGCAGAACAGAAACCAAACCAACACACGCCAUGGCUGCAAGACACCAGUUUGCAAAUGGAUACCUUAUCGGGUCGCCCCGCCAAGAUACGGGUCGGAUCUUCUCAAUGCAGUGAAGAAGAUUAUUAGCCCAGAAAGAAACAAAUCAUCAUCACAGCCCAUUUUUGCUAAUUCUUGAAAAAACAACAACAAAAAACCCAGUAUAUUCCCACAUAGUGGGGUCUUGAAAAAACAGCCAUCUUUAUAUAUACAUGUAUAUAAAUUUAGAAUAAAAAAACAAAAAAAGAGAUAAGCAUCAAGUACAAACUCGAACUAUCACCCUUUUUACUGACGUGGCACCUUUAUUACAUAAAAUGGGGCCUACGUCAAGGUGUCAUGUCAGCUAAAAAAGUUGACAAAAAGUGUCAAGUCAGAUAAAAAGGCCGACAAAAAUUACGUUAAAUUUAAUUCAGGGGGUUGAUAAUACCACCAUGAAGUUGGAGUGUGUCGUAGCAAAUUUGGUCAUAGUUUAGUGGGUCUUAGAUGCUUUACUCUAAGAAAAAUGGAAUUUCUGCAUCCAUGCUUCUUGAUUAUGCUUUUCUUUUUCAAAGGGCUGUUGAUUUUGUUUUUUAAAAAAAAUAAUUUAUGAAUGGAGAAGAAGUCAUGGACAUAUUGAGAGAUUGAGAGGGGCAACCACCCUAUACAGAAAAUCCCUUUUUUUCUCUCUCUCCGAUGUCUCAAUUCUUGCUUUCUGGGCUAAAGAGUGGUGAGUGUUUCCAGCUAACAGUCGUAAUAGAAUAUAUAUAUAGCUCAGACUUUGCUGUAUAUGAUCAUGCUAAGAGAAAGUGACACACCAUGGCUGCAGACACCGGUUUAAAGACAACGCCAUACCGGGUCGCCCCACCAAGAUAAAAAAAAAAAAUUCUCAAAGCAGUAAACUAGAUAUGACACCAGGUAUCUAAGUGGUCGCAAAAGAAGCAGAGAAAGGAAGAGAGUAGCCCGCCCCUUUUUACAGAGGAAUACUCGAGGGGUGUUGUUGAGAUGGUUUAUCAAUUAUCUAUGUUGCUUGGAUUCUUCAAAAAUGUCAUCGGCUGCCUGUCGGAUCCUCAAAAGUAGUGCAUUUUGGAGAAUCCGACACGGGAGCGGCAACAUUUAGGAGAGUCCGAGCAACUUAGCUGACAUUUUCCCCUACUUGUUUUGCUUUUGUCAAAGGGUUGUUGGUUUUACAAAUGGGAAAAUCAUGGACAUGCAGAAAGGGGCAACCACCCUUUACAGAAAACCCCAUCCCUCUAAUAUCUCAUUCUUCCUUUCCGGGCUUAACUAUAGGGAUUUUGCUAAACCCUCUAUGUUACUGUUUCUUCUUAAAUAAUUACGGACAUCCUCAGCAGGUUACCUGUACGGUCUCUUUUUUGUUUCAAAUGUGUUUUAAGUUUUUGGAAGACAUUAAUCUCUGAGCCUUAGUUUAAGCUGAAGCAGAAGCAUCUAUAACAUGCCAAUAAUAAUCAAAAUUUCAAAAAAAAAAAAAAGGAAAUCUUGUGAAGUAAAACACACUGAUUUAUAAGAGAAAAGUUAACCGAAGAGACCCCCAAGUCUACAUUUAAGAAACUACUCCUCCCAAUUUUAUGCUUUCUGUUAUAAAUCGGACAGAAUAAAGCAAACCACAAGCAGAAAGAAAAACAACAACACACAGAUUUACGUUGAAAUCCUUGCGGGAAAAACCACGGGCAGAGGCAGAGGAUUUCACUAUAAUGGAGAAGAGUACAAUGGGAAGACUAUGUCUCAAUUUCAUGUAUUUUUCUGAAUGACUCAAAACAGCCCACUAAAUCGCUCUAAUAUAAUAUGUGCGUACAAAUAAGUCCUAGAUCGGCCCGAUCCCUACGCUCCCACCACUGACCCCAUUGAAAAUCACAAACAUGGGUCACACCGUGAGACUUUCAGGCCCGGAACAACAAAAUUCGGGUCACAACUCUCAUACUUUCAAUGCUAAUUUGCCUGAAAAUGCAGCGAUGCAGGAGCAGGGUAGUGAUAGGUAGAUAUAGACAGACACAGACAUACAAUAUAUAUACACACACACAUACAUAUGUAAAAGAGGGCUGUUGAUUAAAGCAAAAAAGAAAUCAUUGGCAUCCCAGAGAUGGUCAACCACACUGAAAUAUCCCCAUUUUCUCCAAUUGCCUCAUUUUUGAGCUAAAAAGUUGAUGGAGAACAGCAUCUAAAAUGGGGUAUUCAGGAAAAUAGUGUAGAACCCAAUUGGAUUUUCCACGUCCUGAGAACGACCAUCCAAUUCAAAACCAUCAAAUGGUUGGCAUAAAACUUUUAGGGCCCAAAUUUUGCUUUUCUAAGAACAUGCAAAAAGAAAGUGACCAUGCCAUGGCCGCAGACACCGGUUUAAAGACAACACCAUACCAGGUCGCCCCACCAAGAUAUGGUCAGAUUUUCUCAAAGCAGCCCAGAAAGAAGAAAUCAUCAUCACAGCCUAUUUUCAGGUGAUCUGCAACGAUCAACGUAGACACCAGGUAUCUAAGUGGUCACAGCAGAAGCAGAGAAAGGAAGAGCGUAGCCCUUUUUACAGAGGAAUACACAGGCGGUGUUGUUGAGAUGGUUCAUCAAUUAUCAUUUGCCUCUACUCUUUUGUCUUUUCUAAAAGGGUUAGUUUUACGAAUGGGAAAAUCAUGGACAUAGCAGAGAGGGCCAUACCAGGUUGACAUGACAAAUUACUGAUCGGAUUUUAUCAACGCUGUGAAGUGGGAGAAGUACACAAUCAUUGUUAGGACCCCUAUAUAAAGAUCAGUUGGAAGUUGAGGCUCAGAUCUGUGUAAAAUGCAGCAAAGAGAAGACGACAACGCCAUGGCUGCAAAAUGAACCAAUUGCAUGAUUCAAUUUCACCCCGCCAAGAUAUGAGUCGGGUUUUCUCCAUGCCUCAAAUAUCAGCCCAGAUUAGCAAUAUCAUCACUUCCUCUCGGAUAAUGAAAACUUCUGCACUGCAUUUGUGGACAGUUUCGAGACAAAAAAUGAACGGAGGGAGUACUAUUGAUAUCAGCAUCACAUCAAUGGCAACAGAUAUUUGCCUUCUUUUUAGGACAAAACCAAAACCAAAACCAAAACCAAACCAUGAACACCCCAAAAUAUACCAAAGAAAAGAAAUGAAAACAGAGGUUGAUGGAGAAAUAUACCAAACAAGCCAUCCUGGUUAUCCUUGCCAAGCUACCGGUCAGCAAUAUCAUCAUUGCCUCUUCCAAAAAAUGGGAACUUUUCCAUAAGAGCCUGUUCGGACAAUUUCAGCAAUGUGUGUCUAAUAGACACAGUUUGGCUCUACGUGUUCAAACCACCCUUAGUUGGACGUCCAAAUGAAAGCUUUCAGAAAGUUUGAGGGACCGUCAAUGUAUUCAGUCAUAUCAAAAAAACUUGAGGCUCGGAUAAGUGAUUAACCCCGGCAAUGAGUUCUCUGACACUGCCAUGGCUGCAAACCCAAUAAUACGGGUUGACCCGCCAAGAUACAGGUCAGAAACAUCAGUGCCAGGUUCCAUAUUCUCAAUAACAAUCAACCGUCACAGCCCUAUCAUUAGAAAAUUGAUUAACAGAAGAAAACAUAGGUACUAUUGGGAGUUGACUUUACAGGUUGGGUGCUUGGAAGUGAAUCUUGCAGACCAAACAGUACUGUAAUAUUAUUUUUCAAGUCCUGGGACGUCCAGUUGGAUUAGUUGGAUAUUGAGGCUCAGAUCUGCAAAAAAUGGGGCAAAGAGAAGGCGACAGCUCCAUGGCUGCAAAAGAACCAGUUGCAUGUGAAAGAGAAGACUUAAGCACAAGCCAUCCAGGUUUGCCAUGCCAAGAUACGGGUCAGAUUGCCUCCCUUCCCCAAACAGCAGCCCAUAUUAGCAAUAUCAUCACUGCCUUUUUCGGAAAACAUGGAAACUUUUUCAGUAGAGCCGUUUGUACGACUUUAACAGGAAAAAUUAAUUAAAAAAAAUGAGACCUUAGCUUAGAAUAAUCAGAAAAUUGAAUAGAACUACUACCUUCAACAUCAAAUAGCCAACAUUGAAGCUGAUGGCAACAAACAUUGUUUCUAGUUUCCAGUUUGGCAGAGGGUUGUUGGAGAGGUUAAAGGAGAAAUCAUUAGCCAAUCAGCAGAGGCAACCACCCUCCAAAGAAAUUCCCUUUUUCUCCCUGUUGGCCUCAUUAUUCACACUGGGCUGAGCUUCCAUUACUCAUCCGGAUUUUCCCCGUCAGGAUACAAAACUAAACCGAAAUAUGUACACCCCAUACCAUACCAUGGGAAACCACCAUCCAAACAAAGUGUAAAUAUACCAAUGAAAAAAAAAAGGUUAUUGGUUGACUUCAUUCUUCCUUCUGGGCUCAGAUCUUUAAUUUAUCUGAGGCAUUGAGUUAUUAGAAACCGCCAUGGUUGCAAACCCUAUAACUUGGGUCGCCCUGCCAAGUUACGGGCCUGAAUCAACGAUACCCGAUUUCAUUUGCUCAGUAAAAGUAUCAUCACAGCCCCGUUAUUAUCCUUUUCAAUUUCAUUGUUGUAUGCUUUUGCUGUUGCUUUUUCAGGAAAACAUAGCCUCUGAGGAAGAGAGUAUGACAGUAACAGAUGCAAAGAGAAAAUGAUCAAAAAUGGUCCUUAACAUUACUUAGAGCUAAAAGAUACUAGAAAUCAUAGGCGUGAUGGAAAUGGUCAGCCACCCGGAAAAUCCAGAUAACUUCCCAUUUUUUCUCCAACUGACUCAUUCUUUUUACCUAAAAUUUGACGGAGAACACCAUCAGGUGUUCAAGAAAAAGUGAACAACCAAAAUGGUGUUCACCAAACUACAGGUCCUGGGUUCGUAUCCUGAACUGUCCAGAAGGACUAGUUGGAAAUCGAGGCUCAGAUCUGCAGCAAAUGGGAGAAAGAGAACGUGACAAUGCCAUGGCUGCAAAGGAAUCGGUAGCACGUGAAAGAGAAGACUCAAUCACAAACCAUCCGGGUGUGCCAUGCCAAGAUACGGGUCAGAUUGUCUCCACGCCAAACAUCAGCCCAGAUUAGCAAUAUCAUCAUAGCCUCUUGUGAAAGAUGGGAACAUUCCCACAAGUAGGCGUUUGGACAACUCGGAGCAAAUUUUAAAAACCAUAAGAACACUUUUUCAUGAGCCAGGAGUCUGUUGGAAACAACCUCUCUACCCUGCAAAGGUAAGAGAGACAGAAAGAGACAUGCAAUAUAUACACACACAGAGACCAUACAUAUGCUAAGAGGGCAUUAUUGGGUUUUCCAGUUCCAUUGAAGACCCGUUAAACUUUUGGGGCUCAGAUUCUGCAGUAUAUCAACAUGAAAGAGAAAGCAACACAAGCCAUGGCUGCGGACACCGGUUUGCAGAUGGAUGCCCUACCAGGUUGCCCCGCCAAGAUACAGGUUGGAUUUUAGGAAAGAUAUCAGUUUUCACAGGGUCCUAUUACCUCCCUGAAUUCAGUUUUGGCGUAUUUUUAUCACCCUUUUGUUCUGACAUGGCACCUUUAUUACAUAAAAUGGGGCCAUGUCAAAGGUGUUAACGUCAGCUAAAUAGGUUGACAAAAGGUGCCACGUCAGCUUAAAAAAAAUGACAAAAAUAAGCUAAAAUUUAGUUCAAGGGGGUAAUAGGACCCUCGUGAAGUUGGAGUGUGUCGUAGCAAAUUCGGUCAAGUUCAGGGGGCACUAGAUGCUUUACUCUAAGCAUUUCCCUUCUUACCAAAGACACCCUUAAUAGCACUGCGAUACAUUAGGUAACAACCAUCCAAAAUGAGCAAUGAAGCUCAGAUCAGUUGAUAAAACAAGAGAAUGAAGACACAGCCAUGGCUGCAAACCUUGGGCUGCGUUCCAGGUCGCGCUGCCAAGAUACAGGUCUCUUAAUUUCUCUGGUCAAGUAUCACUGAAGCCUCAGAAUCUAUCUCUCUCUCUCUCUCUCUCUCGCUUUCUUCAUGCGAUCAAGUUAGUUCAAAUCCAUAACAUAAGGGACAAUGUGAUUCAGCAAUUUCAACAGGGUGCGAAUAAUUUUCCCCGGAGAUUUAAAGGGUUGUUUGAUUUAUUUAUUUUUUUCAUUUUCCUUCCAUAUGAGAAAUCACUAGAGUUGCAGAUAGGGGCAACCACCCUUAAAGAGAAUGCCACCACGCCAUGGCUGCAAAAUCACCAGUUGCAUGCAAAAGAACGAGCCUCAGCUGCAGUUGCAGGCCAUCCUGGAAUUUGCAAGGCCAAGAUACGGGUCGGACUGUCUUCAAUGCCCCAUUUUUGUUAACCCAGCAAGUGCUAUUAUUAUCAUCGCUAGCUCAAAAAAGGUCAUUAGUGCAAAUUCCCCAAGAAUACACAUAUAUAUGGAUUGAUCAUCUUCUGCUUCGGAAUAUUGCAAGAACAAGGGUUGUUGGUAUUGUAGCUACAGAAAAUCAUUGGCACGACAGAGAGGAGCAACCACCCUUAGAAGAAAAUCCUUUCUCUCCAUUAACCUCAUUCUUCUCUUUUAGGGAUAUUUGGCUCUCGGAUGAAAACUUCACCACUUUUCUCUCCUCGUAGGGAUCCACUGGUAACUAAGUGCUGAUUUCAUCAUGAAAAAAAAAGUAUAAAUAACAUAAAUGCCAACCCUUUUGGAAGUAAUUACGCUCCCUCCCACUUUUAAAAUUACUCUACUCUCUCUUGCUAUUAAUAUACAUAACAUAGCCGACAUAUAACAUAGCCGACAUAUACAUAGCAUUCUGUGCAUAUGUGGGGAUUUUUGUAAUAUGUAUAGGGAGUUGGGAUUUUUGUAAUAUUGGAAACAUUGGUGUAUUUGUGUAAUUUUUAGAAAAAAAAAUUCCAUCGUACCAAAGACACCUUAAGAGUAAAGUUGACGCUCAGAUCUGUUCAUAAGACAAGAGAAUGAAGGCGAUGCCAUGGCUGCAAACACUGGUUGCAUGACACAAUAAUUAGUCAUCCCGAUUGCCCCGCCAAGAUACAAGUCACUUUAUUUUCUUGUCCUGUUGAGUUGCUCCCAAAAAGAAGGGAAAAGAAUAUCAGCAUAGCCUCAUAUUCUCUAUCUAUCUAUCUAUCUAUAUCUAUAGCUAUAUAUCACCAACAUGCACUGAAAAGGCAAAGUGCUUUUCAUUUAAAUGCAAACUUUCUGGGUCUCUUCCGUUAAAUCCUUCCUGAUAUCAUGGGCUUAUAUCUAAGAAGCAGAUAAAGUAACCAUUUUCUUGUGAUAGUGCAUAACAUAAAAUUGCAUAUUUUGCCCUUUAGCAAUCGAACGUAUGCCUAGUAGGGCAUAAGUUCUUUGGAAACAAAAGUCAUGUUAGCAAAACUUGUCCGAUAUUAUGGUAAGAAAAUAUAAACGUGCCCUGGGAUUUUAUUUAUUUAUUUAUUUAUUGGUUACGAGAGGCAUAAAUUGAAGACCAGCACAAAAUAAGGCAAAAGUGCAAAAAUGUAAGCACACGAGGUCCACAAGUUCGAUUUUCAGAAAUUUGAGGCUCGGAAUUUAGCAUUUUUGCUCAGACAAAGAGAAGACAACCACACCAUGGCUGCAAAAUCACCAGUUGCAUGCAAAAAUGUGAGCCUCAGUUGCAGGCCAUCCUGGGAUUUGCCAAGCCUAGUUACGGGUAGGAUUAUCCUCGAUGCCCGAUUUUGUUAGCCCAGAAUGUAAAACAUUGUCAUCAUCACAGCCUCUUUUGCACAAUUACUUUAAAGGGGGAGAAAGCAACACAAACACACUGAGAUCUAGCUGUUGUUUCCCUGAGUAUUUCAUUAGCAAGGGUUGUUGCUAUAGUUGUUAAAAUGAAAAUCAUUGGCACAACAGAGAGGGGCAACCACCCUUAACAAAAAGUCCCUACACUCUAUUAACCUCAUUUUUCUUCCGGGGACAACUUCCUUUAGGAAAAUUCCUCGUUAAAAUUUCCCAACUUUCUUCUUUUCAGAGGGCUACAUUAGAAACCAAACAUGGAUGAAAUUCAUCAUAAAAGCAUUUCCUUUUGUACCAAAUAAACCCUUGUGGAAUAACAAUACAGCACAAUAAGUAACAACCAUCCAUAAAGGCUACAAGAGUAAAAUUGAAGUUCUCAUCUGUUGAUAAAACAAGAGAAUGAAGACAUCGCCAUGGCUGCAAACCUCGGAUUGCGUCCGGGUCGCCCAGCCAAGAUACGGGUCUCUUAAUUUCUCUUGUCAAGUAUCAUUGAAGCCUCUAUCUAUCCAUCUCUCUUCUCUUUGUGAGACUAAUUUGUUUCAACUCCAUAUCAUGAAGGACCAUUUGAUUCAAAAAUCUCAAUAGGGUGUUGAUAAGUUUUCCCUGAGAUUUAUAGGGUUGUUUGAAUUUUUUUCAUUUUCUUUUCAUAUGAAAAAUCACUGGAGUUGCAGAUAGGGGCAACCACCCUUCAGAAAUCCCUCCUAACAUUAACGACUCCUUUCCUAACCAAACGACCCCUUAAACAGAAUAUCAUUGCCACCACGCCAUGGCUGCAAAAUCACUGAUUGCAUGCAAAAGACAGAGCCUCAGUUGCAGGCCAUCCUGGGAUUUGCCAGGCCAAGAUACGGGUUGGAUUGUCCCAUUUGUUAACCCAGAAAGUGCCAUUGUUAUCAUUAGUACCUCAAAAAAAGGUCACUAGUGGAAGACACCUUAAAAGUAAGUAGAGGCUAAAAUGUUGAUAAGACAAGAGAAUGAAGGUGAUGAUCAUGGCUGCAAACACCGUUGGCAUGACACAAAAUACCAGCCGUCCGCAUUGCCCCGCCAAGAUGCUGUCCCUUUAUUUUCUUGACCUAUUGAGUUGCUCAAAAAAUGACAACAGCAACAACAACAAACCCAGUGUAUUCCCACAUAGUGGAGUCUGGGGAGGGUAAGGUGGACGCAGUCCAUACCACUACUUCCGGAGAAGUAGCAAGGCUGUUUCUGAUAGACCCUCGGCUCAAGACAAAGAAUAUUAAUCAAAUCCGCAAAAAAGCACGUAACAAGAUGAUAAGACAUAAAUACACCACCAACAAGGAAUAGCAACCAAAGAAUAGUACACCAUCGCAAUAUAGCAUGCAACAAGGUAGCAUACCAAGAAUAAUACACCCACCAAGCUACGCCCUACCCUACCGACCCAAACUGACACUAGCCUUCUAUCCUAAUACGCAACCUCCAUAACUUCCUAGCUAGGGUCAUGUCCUCAGUGAGCUGUAACUACUCCACCUCAUAGCCUCAUAAUCUCUAUCUAUAUAUCUAUCUAUCAACAAUAUUCACUGAAAGAGCAAAGUGCUUUUGGUUUAAAUGCUGACAUAUGAGGAAUUGAGCUCUCCUGGUCACUUAAAAAAUGAACAGCAGAAAUUUGAGGCUCAGAUACUGCAUUUUGGCUCGGACAAAGAGAAAGCAACCUCGCCAUGGCUGCAAAAUCACCAGUUGCAUGCAAAAGAGUGAGCCUCAGUUUGCAGGCCAUCCUGGGAUUUGCCAAGCCAAGAUACGGGUAGGACUAUCCUCAAUGCCCGAUUUUGUUAGCCCACUAAGUAAAACAUCGUCAUCAUCACAGCCUCUUUUGCACAAUUAAACCCAAAGGAGGAAAACACAACAUACACACACACACUAAGUUGGUGUUUGUCUGAGGAGUUCAUCAACAAGGGUUGUUGCUUUAGUUUCUAUUAAGACAAUCAUGGGCAUAAUAGAGAGGAGCAACCACCCUUAACAAAAAAUCCUUCUCUCUAUUAACCUCAUGAUACCAUAUCUCAUGUCCAAACAGGCCAUUAGUUUCACCAGAAAAUUAAACUUUCUUCUUCUCAAAUGGAAGUGGAACUCCUCAUAAAAAAGAAAACAUUUUCCGUCAUACCAAACACACCCUUUCAAGAUAACAACACAACACAAGACAAGCUACAAGAGUAAAAUUGAAGCUUGAAUCGGUUGAUAAAACAAGAGAAUAUAGACAUCACCAUGGCUGCUAACCUCGGUUGGAUUCCGGGUCGUCCCGCCAAGAUACAGGUCUUUGAAUUCCCUUGCCAAGUACUAAUUGCAGCCUCCAAAUUCUCUUUCUCUCUCUAUAUAUAUAUCUUUGUGACUUGUGAGCUGAAUAUGGCUCAACUCCAUAACGUAAAGGACCAUUUGGUUAUAAAUUCUCAAGGGCUGUUUGAUUUUUUUCCUUUUUUCCAAAUGAAAGAUCAUCGGUGUCAUAGAGAGGGACAACCACCCUGAGAAAAAUCCCUUCUCUCUAUUAACCUCAUUUCUCUUUCUGGGCUUAACUUUUUUAGGAAAAGUCUUGAAGUUUUCACCAGAAAAUUUCUCAACUUUCUUCUUAUCAAAGGUCAACAUUAGUAACCAAACACUGAUGAAACUCAUCAUCAUAGAAAAGAAAGAGCAUUUUCCUUCAUACCAAACACAUCCUUCUACAUGAAUAAUACAACAUACAGACUGAAUAGUUGUUUCUCUGAGUAUUUCAUUAACAAGGGCUGUUGCUUGUAGUUGCGAAAAACAAAAUCAUUGGCACAACAGAGAGCGGCAACCACCCUUGACAAAAAUCCUUCUCUCUAUUCACCUCCUUUUUCUUCCUCGGCUAACUUCCUUUAGGAAAGUUCUCCGUUUUAAUCAGAAAAUUUCCCAACUUUCUUCUUUUCGGAGGGCUACAUUAGUAACCAAACACUGAUGAAAUUCAUCAUAAGAAAAUAUUUUUCCUCACACCAAAGAAACCUUUUAGAAUAACAAUACAACACAGACUAAAAAGUUGUUUGUCUGAGUAUUUCACAAACAAGGGCUGUUGCUUCUAGUUGCUAAAAAAAAAAAAAUCAUAGGCACAACAGAGAGGGGCAACCACCCUUAACAAAAAUCCUUCCAUAAUUGAAACUAUUUAUACAAGGUAUUUAUUUCAAGUUAUUUGUAUUUUCUAAACGGUCACUCAUCUAAUAGUUAUUAAAUUAGAAACCUGAGUAAUUAAGGGAAAUUAACCUUUCAAAGGUAGAAAUAUGGGAAGAAGCAACUGAUCACUGCAAUAAUAUAGAACAUGAAAAAACAUAAAUAUGAGUCUAUGGAAAAAAGAUAUAGUAGCAAGUAAUCAAGAUAAAAAUCAAUAGAAAUAUGUCAUACCUGAUCUGAGUGACUAAAAUGGUAUUAAAUUUUAUAUAGAUAAAAAUGUUUUGGCUUCUGAUGAAUUGGGAUGAUAACUUCAAUUAUUGUUGAAUGAGGGGAAAGUCCAUUUAUCUAUUUAAAUGGAACAACCCAUCAGUUAUAUUUUAAAAAGGAGUAAAGCAUCUAGUACCCUAAACUAUGAUCAAAUUUGCUACGACACUCUAAUUUUACGGGGCUCCUAUUACCCCUCAACUAAAUUUUAGCAUAUUUUUGUUAACCUUUAUACUGGCGUGACACCUUUGACGUGAACCCCAUUUUUAUGUAAUAAAUAUGCCACGUCAGCACAAAAGGAUAACAAAAAUACGCUAAAAUUGAAUUCAGAAGUAAUAGGACCGCUGCGAAGUUGGAAUGUAUCGCAGCAACUUUGGUCAUAAUUAGAGGGGUACUACAUACUUCUCUUUUAAAAAUAAAGUUAAAGAUGAUUAUAUUGUGUUUCAAUUGUCUAUCAUACUAUUUUUGUUGUCAUGUACAUUUUAUGAAUGCUAUGUCAUGCUUUUUAAUUAGUUCUCCUUUUUUAUUUAUUUUUAUAACUAAUUUGAUUUACUGCAUUUAAGCGAGGUUCCUUCGAAAACGAUCUCGUCUUAACUACGAGGAUUUUGCCAAACCCUCUAAACUACCGUUUCUGAUUUAAUAAUUAUGGACAUCCUCAGCAGGCUACCGGUGCGGUCUCUUUUUCGUUUCAAAUGUGUUCUAAGUUUUUGGAAGACAUUGAUCUCUGAGCCUUAUGUUAAGCUGAAGCAGAAGCAUCUGUAUCAUGCCAUAACCACCAAAACAAAAAAAAGGAGUCUUGUGAAGUAAAUCGCACUGAUUUAACCAAAGAGACCCCUUAAGUCUACAUUUAAGAGACUAAUCCUCCUAAUUUUAGGCUUUCAAUGCUAAUUUGCCUGAAAAUGCAGCCAUGCAAGAGCAGGGUAGUGAUAGAUAUUUAGACAGACACAGACAAACAAUAUAUAUAUGUAUAUAUAUAUACACACACACACACACAUACAUGUGUAAAAGAGGCUGUUGAUUAGAGCAAAGAAGAAAUCAUUGGCAUGCCUGAAAUGGUCAACCACCCUGAAAAAUCCCAUUUUUCUCCAAUUGCCUCAUUUUGAGCUAAGAGUUGAUGGAGAAGAGCAUCUGAAAUGGCGUAUUCAGGAAACAAGUGCAGAACCCAAAUGGCGUAUUCAGGCAACCACCCUUUACAGAAAAUCCCCUUUUUUUCUCUCUCUGAUGUCUCAAUUCUUGCUUUCUGGGCUAAAGAGUGGUGAGUGUUAGAGCUCAGACUUUGCUGUAUAUGAUCAUAUGCAAAGAGAAAGUGACACACCAUGGCUGCAGACACCGGUUUAAAGACAACGCCAUACCGGGGCGCCCCACCAAGAUAUGGUCAGAUUUUCUCAAAGCAGUAAACUAGAUAGCCAGAAAGAAGCAAUCAUCAUCACAGCCCAUUUCCAGGUGAUCUGCAACGAUCAACGAAGAUAUGACACCAGGUAUCUAAGUGGUCGCAGCAGAAGCAGAGAAAGGAAGAGUGUAGCCCUUUUAACAGAGGAAUACACAAAUGGUGUUGUUGAGAUGGUUUAUCAAUUAACAUUUUGCCUCUACUCUUUUGUCUUUUCUCAAAGGGUUGUUGCUUUUACGAAUGGGAAAAUCAUGGACAUAACAGAGAGGGGCAACCACCCUUUUCAGAAAACCCCUCCCUCUAAUGUCUCAUUCUUCCUUUUCGGGUUUAACUGCAGGGAUUUUGCUAAACCCUCUAUGUUACUGUUUCUGCUUAAAUAUUUAUGGACAUCCUCAGCAGGUUACCUGUACGGUCUCUUUUUCGUUUCAAAUGUGUGUGUGUGUGUGUGUGUAUAUAUAUAUAUAUAUAUAUAUACCCGAGCCUUAGUUUAAGCUGAAGCAGAAGCAUCUAUAACAUGCCAAUAAUAACCAAAAAAAUUUUUUUUAAAAAAAGAAGGAAAUCUUGUGAAGUAAAACACACUUGUUUAUAAGAGAAAAGUUAACCGAAGAGACCCGUAAGUCUACAUUUAAGAAACUACUCCCAAUUUUAUGCUUUCUGUUAUAAACCAAACAGAAUAAAGUAAACCACAAGCAGAAAGAAAAACAACAACACACAGAUUUACUUGGAAACCCUUGCGGGAAAAAACACGGGCAGAGGAGUUUCACUAUAAUGGAGAAGAGUACAAUGAAGAGACUAUGUCUCAAUUUCGUGUAUUUUUCUGAAUGACCCGAAACAGCCCACUAAAUCGCAGUUAUAUAGUAUGUGCGUACAAAUAAGUCUUAGAUUGGCCCGAUCUCUACACUACCACCACUGACCCCAUUGAAAAUCACAAACAUGGGUCGCACCGCAAAACUUUCAGGCCCGGAACAACAAAAUUCGGGUCACAACUCUAAUACUUUCCAUGCUAAUUUGCCUGAAAAUGCAGUGAUGCAGGAGCAGGGUAGUGAUAGGUAGAUAUAGACAGACACAGACAUACAAUAUAUAUAUACACACACACAUACAUAUGUAAAAGAGGGCUGUUGAUUAGAGCAAAAAGAAAUCAUUGGCAUGCCGGAGAUGGUCAACCACCCUGAAAAAUCCCCAUUUUCUCUAAUUGCCUCAUUUUUGAGCUAAAAAGUUGAUGGAGAACAGCAUCUAAAAUGGGGUGUUCAGGAAAAAAGUGAAGAACCUAAUUGGGUUUUCCAGGUCCUGAGAACAACCAUCCAAUUCAAGACCAUCAAAUGGUUGCGUAAAUCUUUUAGGGAUCAAAUUUUCCUUUUCUAUGAACAUGCAAAGAGAAAGUGACCACGCCAUGGCUGCAGACACUGGUUUGCGAAUGAUGCCAUACCAGGUUGCCCCGCCAAAUUACGGAAAAGAUUUUAUCAACGCUGUGUAGUGGGGGGAAGUACACAGUCAGUCGUUGUUAGGACCCCUAUAUAAAGAUCAGUUAGAAGUUGAGGCUCAGAUCUGUGUAAAAUGCAGCAAAGAGAAGACGACAACGCCAUGGCUGCAAAAUGAACCGAUUGCAUGAUUCAAUUUCACCCUGCCAAGAUACGGGUCGGGUUUUCUCCAUGCUUCAAAUAUCAGCCCAGAUUAGCAAUAUCAUCACUGCCUCUCGGAUAAUGAAAACUUCUUCACUGCCAUUUGUGGACAGUUUCGAGACACAAAAUGAACAGAGGGAGUACUAUUGAUAUCAGCAUCACAUCAAUGGCAACAGAUAUUUGCCUUCCUUUUAGGUCAAAACAACAACCAAAACCAAAACCAAAAGAUGAGUGUCAGAUGGAUUUGAGUAUUUUUUUGUGUAAAAAUUAGAUUUAAUUAUAUUGUUUUGAUGUCUCUAUCAUCUUAUUGUUUUGUUGCAGUUUACAGGUGGUAGAAGAAUGUUGAUCGGCUUUAAGAAUUUUUUUUUGUAAAGGUUAGGUUUAAUUAAAUAAAUUCUCCAAAAGAUGUUGAAUUUAAUUAUUGUAUUCAUCUUUGUUAUUUAAACAAAUAUUCUAUUUCGUUUAGCGUUUGAACUCAAUAAAGUGAGGUACACGCGCGAGGUGCAUACACCUAAACAAGUAUAUACAAACACAUACAUAUGUAAAAGAGGCUGUCGGUUAGAGCAAAAAAGAAAUCAUUGGCAUGUCGGAAAUGGUCAACCACCUUGAAAAAUCCCCAUUUUUCUCCAAGUGCCUCAUUUAUGAGCUAAAAAGGUGACGGAGAACAGCAUCUAAAAUGGGGUGUUCAGGAAAACAGUGUAGAACCCAAUUGGAUUCUCCACAUCCUGAGAACGACCAUCCAAUUCAAGACCAUCAAAUGGUUGCGUAAAUCUUUUAGGGCUCAAAUUUUCCUUUUCUAUGAACAUGCAAAAAGAAAGUGACCACGCCAUGGCUGCAGACACCGGUUUGCAAACGAUGCCAUACCAGGUUGCCACGCCAAAUUACGGAUCGGAUUUUAUCAACGCUGUGAAGUGGGAGAAGUACACAACCGUUGUUAGGACCCCUAUAAAAAGAUCAGUUGGAAGUUGAGGCUCAGAUCUGCGUAAAAUGCAGCAAAGAGAAGACGACAACGCCAUGGCUGCAAAACGAACCAAUUGCAUGGUUCAAUUUCACCCCGCCAAGAUACGAGUCGGGUUUUCUCCAUGCCUCAAAUAUCAGCCCAGCUUAGCAAUAUCAUCACUGCCUCUCGGAUAAUGAAAACUUCUUCACUGUCAUUUGUGGACAGUUUCGAGACAAAAAAUGUACGGAGGGAGUACCAUUGAUAUCAGCAUCACAUCAAUGGCAACAGAUAUUUGCCUUCUUUUUAGGUCAAAACCAAAACCAAAACCAAACCAUGAACACCCCAAAAUAUACCAAAGAAAGAAAUGAAAACAGAGGUUGAUGGAGAAAUAUACCAAACAAGCCAUCCUGGUUUUCCAUGCCAACCUACAGGUCAGCAAUAUCGUCACUGCCUCUUCUGAAAAUGGGAAUUUUUCCAUAAGAGCCUGUUCGGACAAUUUCAGCAACAUGUGUCUAAUAGACACAGUUUGGCUCUACGUGUUCAAACCACCCUUAGUUGGAUGUCCAAAUGAAAACUUUCAGCAAGUUUGAGGGACCGUCAAUGUAUUCAGUCAUAUCAAAAAGACUUGAGGCUCAGAUAAGUGAUUAACCCCGGCAAUGAGUUCUCUGACACUGCCACGGCUGCAAACCCGAUAAUACGGGUUGCCCCGCCAAGAUACAGGUCUGAAACAACAGUGCCAGUUUCCAUAUUCUCAAUAAUAAUCAAUUAUCACAGUCCUAUCAUUAGAAAAUUAAUUAACAAAAGAAAACAUAGGUACUGUUGGAAGUUGAAUUUACAGGUUGGGGGCUUAGAAGUGAAUCUUGUAGACCAAACAGUAUUGUAAUAUUAUUCUUCACGUCCUGGGACGUCCAGUUGGAUUAGUUGGAUAUUGAGGCUCAGAUCUGCAAAAAAUGGGGUAAAGAGAAGGCGACAGCGCCAUGGCUGCAAAAGAACCAGUUGCAUGUGAAAGAGAAGACUCAAGCACAAGCCAUCCAGGUUUGCCAUACUCAAGCACAAGCCAUCCAGGUUUGCCAUACUAAGAUAUGGGUUAGAUUGCCUCCAUCCCCCAAACAUCAGCCCAUAUUAGCAAUAUCAUCACUGCCUCUUUCAGAAAAGACUGAAACUUUUCCAGUAGAGCCAGUUUGAACGACUUUAGCAGGAAAAAUUAAUAAAACAAAAAGAAGACCUUAGCUUAAAAUGAUAACCUUCAACAUCAAAUCUCCAACAUUGAAGCUGAGGGCAACAAACAGUUUCUUGUUUCCAGUUUUGCAGAGGGUUGUUGGAAUGGUUAAAGGAGAAAUCAUUGGCCAAUCAGCGGAGGCAACCACCCUCCAAAGAAAUUCCCUUUUUCUCCCUGUUGGCCUCAUUAUUCACACAGGGCUGAGCUUCCAUUACUCAUCCCGUCAGGAUACAAAACCAAACCGAACUAUGAACACGCCAUACCAUAGCAUGGGAAACCACCAUCCAAACAAAGUGUAAAUAUACCAAUGAAAAAAAAAGGUUAUUGGUUGGCUUCAUUCUUCCUUCUGGGCUCAGAUCUUUAAUUUAUCUGAGGCAUUGAGUUAUUAGAAACCACCAUGGCUGCAAACCCUAUAACAUGGGUCGCCCUGCAUGGGUACGGGCCUGAAUCAACAAUACCUGAUUUCAUUUGCUCAAUAAAAGUAUCAUCACAGCCACAUUAUUAUCCUUUUCAAUUUCAUUGCUGUAAGCUUUUGCUGUUGCUGUUCCAGGAAAACACAGCCAUUGAGGAACCGAGUAUGACAGUAGCAGAAACAGAGAAAAUGAUCAAAAAAGGUCCUUAAUAUUACUUAGAGCUAAGAGAUACUAGAAAUCAUAUGCGUGAUGGAAAUGGUCGACCACCCGGAAAAUCCAGAUAACUUCCCAUUUUUGCUCCAACUGACUCAUUCUUUUUACCUAAAAUUUGACGGAGAACACCAUCAGGUGUUCAAGAAAAAGUGAACAGCUGGCGUUCACCAAACCACAGGUCCUGGGUUCGUAUCCUGAACUGUCCGAAAGGACUAGUUGGAAAUCGAGGCUCAGAUCUGCAGCAAAUGGGGAAAAGAGAAUGUGACAACGCCAUGGCUGCAAAGGAACCGGUAGCAUGUGAAAGAGAAGACUCAAUCACAAACAAUCCGGAUUUGCCAUGCCAAGAUAAGGGUCAGAUUGUCUCCACGCCCAAACAUCAGCCCAGAUUAGCAAUAUCAUCAUAGCCUCGUGUGAAAGAUGGGAACAUUCCCACAAGUAGGCAUUUGGACAACUCAGAGUAAAUUUUAACAAACAUAAGAGCACUUUUCAUGAGCCGGGGGUCUACUGGAAACAACCUCUCUACCCUGCAAAGGUAAGACAGACAGAAAGAGACAUGCAGUAUAUACACACACACAGAGACCAUACAUAUGCUAAAAGGGCAUUAUUGGGUUUUCCAGUUCCAUUGAAGACCCGUUAAACUUUUGGGGCUCAGAUUCUGCAGUAUAUCAGCAUGAAAGAGAAAGCAACACAAGCCAUGGCUGCGGACACCGGUUUGCAGAUGGAUGCCCUACCAGGUCGCCCCGCCAAGAUACAGGUUGGAUUUUAGGAAAGAUAUCAGUUUUCACAGGGGUCCUAUUACCUCCCUGAAUUCAGUUUUAGCGUAUUUUUAUCACCCUUUUGUGCUUUUGUGCUGACAUGGCACCUUUAUUACAUAAAAUGGGGCCCAUGUCAAAGGUGUUACGUCAGCUAAAUAGGUUGACAAAAGGUGCCACGUCAGCUAAAAAAAUGACAAAAAUAUGCUAAAAUUUAGUUCAAGGGGUAAUAGGACCCUUGUGAUGUUGGAGUGUGUCGCAGCAAAUUCGGUCAAGUUCAGGGGGGGUACUAGUUGCUUUACUCUAAGCAUUUCCCUUCAUACCAAAGACACCCUUAAUAGCACUACAAUACAUUAGGUAACAACCAUUGAAAAAGAGCAAUGAAGCUUAGAUCAGUUGAUGAAACAAGAGAAUGAAGACACAGCCAUGGCUGCAAACCUCGGGUUGCGUUCCGGGUCGCCCUGCCAAGAUACAGGUCUCUUAAUUUCUCUGGUCAAGUAUCACUGAAGCCUCAGAAUCUCUCUCUCUCGCUCGCUCACUUUCUGCAUGAGAUCAAGUUAGUUCAACUCCAUAACAUAAAGGACAAUUUGAUUCAACAAUUUCAACAGGGUGCGGAUAAUUUUCCCCUGAGAUUUAAAGGUUUGUUUGAUUUUAGUUUUUUUCAUUUUCCUUCCAUAUGAGAAAUCACUAGAGUUGCAGAUUGGGGCAACCACCCUAAAAGAGAAUGCCACCACGCCAUGGCUGCAAAAUCACCGGUUGCAUGCAAAAGAACGAGCCUCAGUUGCAGUUGCAAGCCAUCCUGGAAUUUGCAAGGCCAAGAUACAGGUCGGAUUGUCUUCAAUGCCCCAUUUUUGUGAACCCAGAAAGUACUAUUAUUAUCAUCGCCAGCUCAAAAAAGGUCAUUAGUGCAAAUUCCCCGAGAAUACACACGCGUCAGAUAUAUAUGGAUUGAUCAUCUUCUGCUUCUAUUGCAAGAACAAGGGCUGUUGGUAUAGUAGCUACAGAAAAUCAUUGGCCCAACGGAGAGGAGCAACCACCCUUACAAGAAAAUCCUCUCUCCGUUAACCUCAUUUAUCUCUUUUAGGGAUAUUUGGCUCUCAGAUGAAAAUUUCACCACUUUUCUCUCCUCGUAGGGAUCCGCUGGUAACCAAGUGCUGAUUUCAUCAUGAAAAAAAAAUGUAUAAAUAACAUAAAUACCAACCCUUUUGGAAGUAAUUACACUCUCCCACUUUUUUACUUACUUUACUCUCUCCCUAUUAAUAUACAUAACAUAGCCGACAUAUACAUAGCAUACUGUGUAUAUGUUGGGAUUUUUGUAAUAUGUUUAGGGAGUUGGGAUUUUUCGUAAUAUUGGAAACAAAAGUUGUGUAUUUGUGUAAUUUUUAGAAAAAAAAUUCCAUCAUACCAAAGACACCUUAAGAGUGAAGUUGACGCUCAGAUCUGUUCAUAAGACAAGAGAAUGAAGGCGAUGCCAUGGCUGCAAACACUGGUUGCAUGACACAAUCAUUAGUCAUCCGGAUUGCCCCGCCAAGAUACAGUCCCUUUAUUUUCUGGUCCUAACGAGUUGCUCCCAAAAAGAAGGGAAAAGAACAUCAUCAUAGCCUCAUAUUCUCUAUCCAUCCAUCUAUCUAUCUAUCUAUCUAUAUAUAUAUACACACACAUAUAUAUAUAUCCUGAAAAAUGUUUUUUUUGGGUUACGAGAGGGCAUAAAUUGAAGAAAAACACAAAAUUAGGGAAAAACUGCAAAUGACCCAGUAUACAUACAUCAUUCUAAUUGGAACAAACUUAAAUGUAAGCACAAGAGAUCCACAGUUUGAUUUCAAGAAAUUUGAGGCUCAGAAUUUAGCAUUUUUGCUCAGACAAAGAGAAGACAACCACGCCAUGGCUGCAAAAUCACCAGUUGCAUGCAAAAGAGUGAGCCUCAGUUGCAGACAAUCCUGGGAUUUGCCAAGCCAAGUUACGGGUAGGAUUAUCCUCGAUGCCCGAUUUUGUUAGCCCAAAUAUGAAACAUUGUCAUCAUCACAGCCUCUUUUGCACAAUUACUUUAAAGGGGGAGAAAGCAACACAAACAGACUGAGAUCUAGCUGUUGUUUCCCUGAGUAUUUCAUUAACAAGGGAUGUUGCUAUAGUUGUUAAAAUGAAAAUCAUUGGCACAACAGAGAGGGGCAACCACCCUUAACAAAAAGUCCCUACUCUCUAUUAACCUCAUUUUUCUUCCUGGGCCAACCUUCUUUAGGAAAAUUCCUCGUUAAAAUUUCCCAGCUUUCUUCUUUUCAGAGGGCUACAUUAGAAACCAAACACGGAUGACAUUCAUCAUAAAAACAUUUCCUUUUGUACCAAAUACACCCUAGUAGAAUAACAAUACAGCACAAUAGGUAACAACCAUCCAAACAGGCUACAAGAGUAAAAUUGAAGCUCAGAUCUGUUGAUAAAACAAGAGAAUGAAGACAUCGACAUGGCAGCAAACCUCGGAUUGCAUCCGGGUCGCCCAGCCAAGAUACAGAUCUCUUAAUUUCUCUUGUCAAGUAUCAUUGAAGCUUCAGAAUCUAUAUAUAUAUAUAUAUACAUAUAUAUCUUCUCUUUGUGAGAUGAAUUUGGUUCAACUCCAUAACAUGAAGGAACAUUUGAUUCAAAAAUCUCAAUAGGGUGUUGAUAAGUUUUCCCUGAGAUUUAUGGGGUUGUUUGAAUUUUUUUCAUUUUCUUUUCAUACACUGGCGUUACAGAUAGGGGCAACCACCCUUCAGAAAUCCCUCCAAACAUUAACAACUCCUUUCCUAACCAAACGACCCCUUAAAGAGAAUAUCAUUGCCUCCACGCCAUGGCUGCAAAAUCACCGGUUGCAUGCAAAAGAAAGAGCCUCAGUUGCACGCCAUCCUGGGAUUUGCCAGGCCAAGAUACGGGCUGGAUUAUCUUCAAUGCUUCACUUGUUAACCCAGAAAGUGCCAUUGUUACCAUCAGUACCUCAAAGAAACGUCACUAGUGUAAAUUCCCCAAGAAUACACACUCGCUGAGAUAUAUGGAUUAUAUUCUGCUGCCUAUAUUCCAUGAACAAGGGCUGUUGGUAUAGUAGCUACAGAAAAUCAUUGGCACAAUGGAGAGGGGCAACCACCCUUAGAAGAAAAUCCCUUCUCUCUAUUAACCUCACUUCUCCUUCUGGGUGAAUUCUUUUCGGAACACUUGGCUCUCACCUGAAAUUUCACAACUUUUAUUUCCUCAUAGGGAUAUAAUGGUAAUCGAGUGUUGCUUUCAUCAUGAAAAAUGUUUUCCAUCAUACCAAAGACACCCUAAAAGUAAGUUGAGGCUCAGAUGUUGAUAAGACAAGGGAAUGAAGGUGAUGAUCAUGGCUGCAAACACCAUUGGCAUGACACAAAAUCACUAGCCGUCUGCAUUGCCCCGCCAAGAUACAGUCCCUUUAUUUCCUUGUCCUAUUGAGUUGGUCAAAAAAAGAAGGGAAGAAAAUAUCAUCAUAGCCUCAUAAUCUCUAUCUAUAUAUCUAUAUAUCAACAAUAUUCACUGAAAAAGCAAAGUGCUUUUGGUUUAAAUGCAGACAUACGAGGAAUUAAGAUCUCCUGGUCACUUACAAAAUGAACAGAAGAAAUUUGAGGCUCAGAUGCUGCAUUUUGUCUCGGACAAAGAGAAGGCAACCUCGCCAUGGCUGCAAAAUCACCAGUUGCAUGCAAAAGAGUGAGCCUCAGUUUGCAGGCCAUCCUGGGAUUUGCCAAGCCAAGAUACGGGUAGGACUAUCCUCAAUGCCCGAUUUUGUUAGCCCACAAAGUAAAACAUUGUCAUCAUCACAGCCUCUUUUGCACAAUUAAACCCAAAAGGGGGGAAAAACAACAUACACACACACACUAAGUUGCUGUUUGUCUUUGUAGUUCAUCAACAAGGGCUGUUGCUUUAGUUGCUAUUAAUACAAUCAUGGGCAUAAUAGAGAGGAGCAACCAACCUUAACAAAAAAUCCUUCUCUCCAUUAACCUCAUGACACCGUAUCUCAUGUCCAAACAGGCCCUUAGUUUCAACAGAAAAUUCUCCAACUUUCAUCAACUCCUCAUAAAAACGAAAACAUUUUCCUUCAUACCAAACACACUCUUUCAAAAUAACAACACAACACAAGCUUCAAGAGUAAAAUUGAAGGUCGAAUCAGUUGAUAAAACAAGAGAAUAUAGACAUCGCCAUGGCUGCUAACCUCGGGUUGCAUUCCGGGCCGCCCCGCCAAGAUACGUUCUUUGAAUUCUCUUGCCAAGUACCAAUUGCAGCCUCAAAACUUUCUCUUUCUCUCUCUCUCUCUCUCUCUCUCGCUCUAUCUACCUUUGUGACUUGUGAGCUGAAUAUAGCUCAAUUCCAUAACGUAAAGGACCAUUUUGUCAUAAAUUCUCAAGGGCUGUUUGAUUUUUUUUCCUUUUUUUCCAUAUGAGAAAUCAUUGGUGUCAUAGAGAGGGACAACCACCCUGAGAAAAAUCCCUUCUCUCUAUUAACCUCAUUUCUCUUUCUGGGCUGAACUUUUUUAGGAAAAUUCUUGAAGUUUUCACCAGAAAAUUUCUCAACUUUCUUCUUAUCAAAAGGUCAACAUUAGUAACCGAACACUGAUGAAACUCAUCAUUAAAGAAAAGAAAGAACAUUUUUCGUCAUACCAAACACAUCCUUUUAGAUAAAUAAUACAACAUACAGACUGAACAGUUGUUUCUCUGAGUAUUUCAUUAACAAGGGCUGUUGCUUCUAGCUGCAAAAAACAAAAUCAUCGGCACAACAGAGAGGGGCAGCCACCGUUGACAAAAAUCCUUCUCUCUAUUCACCUCAUUUUUCUUCCUCGGCUAACUUCCUUUAGGAAAGUUCUCCGUUUUCAUCAGAAAAUUUUCCGAACUUUCUUCUUUUCAGAGGGCUACAUUAGUAACCAAACACUGAUGAAAUUCAUCAUAAAAAGAAAAUAUUUUCCCUCACACCAAAGACACCUUUUAGAAUAACAAUACAUCACACAGACUAAACAAUUGCUUGUCUGAGUAUUUCGUCAACAAGGGCUGUUGCUUUAGUUGUUAAAAAAGAAUAUCAUUGGCACAACAGAGAGGGGCAACCACCCUUAACAAAAAUAUCCCUUCUCUCUAUUCACAUCAUUUUUCUUUCUUGCCUAAGUCUUUUUUCUUUUUUGGUUUUCCACCAGAAAUUUUCCAACUUUCUUCUUCACUGAAGGACUACAUUAGUAACCAAACAUUAAUGAAAUUCAUCAUUAAAAUUUAAAAAAAAAAAAAAUCUUUUCUUCAUACCAAACACCACCUUUUACUUUAGAAAAACAUACAACACCUUAGUUUUCAGCAAAAAAUUUCCCAACUUUCUUCUUCUCAGAUGAAACUCAUUAUCAAAAAAGAACACAUUUUUUUUCAUACUAAAGAUUACCUUUUAGAUUAACAACACAAUAUUGCAUGUCCAAACAUGCCCUUAAUUUUCACCAAGAAAAUUCCCAAACUUUCUUCUUCUUAGAUGAACCUCAUCAUCAAAAAAAUCACAUUUUUCUUCAUACCAAACACACACUUUUAGUUUAGCAACUCAACAUUGCAUGUCCAAACAGGCCCUUAAUUUUCACCAAGAAAAUUCCCAAACUUUCUUCUUCUUAGAUGAAACUCAUCAUCAAAAAUGAUCACAUUUUUCUUCCUACCAAACACACACUUUUAGUUUUUUCUUCAUACAAACACACACUUUUAGUUUAGCAACACAAUAUUGCAUGUCCAAACAGCCCCUUAGUUUUCACCAAGAAAAUUUCCCAACUUUCUUUUCAUAUGAAACUCAUCAUCAAAGACAUCACAUUUUUCUUCAUACCAAACACACCCUUUUAGUUUAACAACACAAUAUUGCAUAUACAAACAGGCCCUUAGUUUUCACCAAAAAGACCACAUUUUUCUUCAUCCAUCAUCAAAAAAAAAAAAAAAAUCACAUUUUUCUUCAAACCAAACACACCCUUUUAGAUUAACAAGACAAUAUAGCAUGUCCAGACAGGCCCUUAGUUUUCACCAAAAAGAUCACAUUUUUCUUCAUCCAUCAUCAAAAAAGAUCACAUUUUUCUUCAAAUCAAACACACCCUUUUAGUUUAACAACCCAACAUUGCAUGUCCAAACAUGCCCUUAGUUUUCACAAAGCAAAUUCCCAAACUUUCUUCUUCUCACAUAAAAUUCAUCAUCAAAAAAGAUCACAUUUUUCUACAUACCAAACACACCCUUUUACAUCAACAACACAAUCUACAAAAGUAAAAUUAAAGCUCAGAUUUGUUGAUUAAAAACAAGAAAACUGAACACACAGCCAUGGCUACUUACCUCGGGCUGCGUGCCAGGUCGACCUCGGGUCAGCUCCAAAUCCCCUCUGAGCUGAGCUUUUGGGUUUUGGUGGUUGUUCAUCAAUGGAAGCUCAGCAUCUUAAAAGCAGCAAUGUUUCCAAUUUUACCCUCUUGUUUAGCAUUGUAAUAUGUCAAAAGUGAAGGGUAUUUUGGUGUAAAGAAAUAUAAUAAUUAUAGUUUACUGUACUUUUAUGCACAGCAACACAUAGUUGUACUUCGUACUGUUCAGCUUUGAACUUAAGGAACAGGAAUAAUUAAUUUCGAAAUUAAUUAUUUCAAUAUAUAUAUAUAUAUGGGACAACUUAUUUCAUCACUAAGAUAUAAAUGAUGUGAUAAAUAAUUUUGAAAUUUAAUAAUACUUUCAACCAAACGUGGGAUAAAAUAAUUCUGCGUUUUAUUCUAUGACUGUUAUAUCGUAUAUACCUCACACCAAAUGAUCCCUUAGACAUUGAAAUCCACGUGGAAAUACAUAUUUACAGUAAUAAGUUAGAUAUCAAAAUUCACGUGGAAAUACAUAAUUACAUCAAUUAGUUAGAUGUUGGAAUCCACGUGGAAAUAAUUAUUCUAGGACUAUUAUAUCUUAUAGCUCACACCAAACGAUCCCUUAGAUAUCGAAAUCCACUUGGAAAUGCAUACUUACAUUAAUCGGUUGGAUAUCGAAAUUCACGUGGAAAUACAUAAUUACAUCAAUUAGUUAGAUAACGAAAUUCAAAUGAAAAAUACAUAAUUACAUUAAUAAGUUAGAUAUCAAAAUCCAGGUGGAAAUACAUAAUUAUAUGAAUUAGUUAGCGAUUGAAAUCCAAAUGGAAAUACAUAAUUAUAUUAAUCCCUUAGAUCUCGAGAUUUAAUGUGGUGAAAAAGUACUUGUGUCUCAGAACUCAUAAUUACGACCAUGAAUGUGACUGAAAAAAUGUAAGGAGUAGUUCGAUCGUGGCGAUUUUGGCCGAUUAAUCAUUUAAUAUGUUAUUGCGAUAACAUCCAUUCGUUACAUUACUUCAAGUCAGUCCCUAGAUAGGAUCGAGGGGUUCAUCCAAACCCUCUUUGUUGGAAUAUUUAACUCUUUAAGAUAUGAUUAAAAUUAUUUUAUAUGCUGAACCUUUUCAACUUCUUCGUAUGUUUAGUUCUUCACAUUUUGAACCUCGUUAGUAAAAAUCCCGACUCCACUACUAUCUUUCGAUAUGUUAAUCCCUUACUCCGCAAAGGGAAAAAAGAGAAAAAGACGAGAACGCGAUUCUUCAUUAAUAUUUGACUGGAUCUCUAAUCUUCUUCGUUCUUUCCCAUGACGAUAACUAGAAUGAAAAAAGGGGAUUGGAGGAAAUAGGUCCCACUCGGAGCUUUUAGAAUAUCUUAGUUGCGCAGACUCUUUACUUUCGAUGCCGCAACCGUAUCAGAUUCUCCAAAAAUACACUAGCUUUGGCGAGAGAAUCCGACACGCACCCAUUGACAUUUUUGAAGAGUUCGAGCAAUGUAGAUUAUAUUUACAUAAUAUCUUUGCCUCUUUGAUGGAGAAAAAUUUUCUGCACAACAUCACCUUCCAAGGUGACUAAGUAGGAUACCUGUUAAAAAUACUAGAAGUAUCAAAACAUCAAGUAACAUAAUAUAAGGGGCUUGUGUGUAAAUAUACGUUGCUCGGACUCGUCAAAAAGGUUGUCGCAUUCGUGUCGAAUCCUUAAAAAAUGCACUACUUUUGAAAGAUCCUACAUCUGACAUGCACUUGUCGACAUUUUUGAUGAGUCCGAGCAACAUUCAAAAUACUCACAAUUUCUAGAGCACUGACUUUGUGAAGGAGGAAUCCAUUUACUUUCUCCCUAGAAAAAAUCGAAAAUGAAGAGAAAAGGUUACACGAUGAUAAAUGGAAAGUGUACACUCGAGUCCUAUGUUGGUCGGAUCCUCCAAAAAUGCUGACUAGUGUGUGGCGGAUUCUCUAAAAGUAAUAUGUUUUUGGAGGAUUUGACACGAGUGAGGCAGCAUUUUGGGAGGUUCCGAGCAACAUCGCUUGAGUCUCGAUAGUCUACUGAACACUGAGAAAAACAACUUACAUCGAGUAAGGCGAGUUCCGAUUCAUUUUUGUCAGCAAAGGUCCUUUAUAUCUGGCCGUUCCAGUUUUGGGUUUCGCGAUAGGUCUUUCCUCGACAUCGUUGGCACAAGCCGGACCACUUAUAUAUGCAUCCUAAACAAGAAAGAGCAAAACAAGAUUAUCCUAUCUCGACUGAUAAUGAGCUCAGCCCUCUACCCUUCGCUUAAACACCAGGCUUUUGUUUACCGUAGAUUCCAACCUGUGAUAUGCGCCUGCACAACACAUCAUGUGUUGCGAUCGUACUACUAGAUUAACGCCUGGGCGCUUAGUUAUUCAAUUUUAUGCAGAAAGCUGAUUUUGCGGAAGAAAAUCACAUCUGGUACUAAGGUAUUCCUCAGGUCGUUUUCUCAGUUGUAGCGUUAAAAUCUUGACUUACCACCCCAUAUUUCAGAAAUACGCCAUCUAAAGAUUGGAAUUCGCGUUUGGGUUCCGUUUGAGAAGUAUCUUCUUCACAGGCUACCAACGGAUGAAAUCCAACAGCAAUGCACCUGCAUUUACGCAAUAUCUCACUUUAGUAACAUAUCUUUUCGGAGUAAAAUAGUGCAGUCUGAAGGUACCAUUUGCUUUCACUAUUUUCGAGUGUGUCUAUCAGCCACUGUGACUGUCUAUCCCCGGCACCAUUUGAAGAAGCCUAGCAACCAGAACAACAAAGUUAAAACUACUGAAAGCUCAACGACAAAAGAAAAUGAAAUUUAUGUAACUUAAGAAUGAGAAUAAUAUAUCCCUAUCUGCGAAGAAGGAUAAAGACGGGACUUUUUUCUGGGACCGGUUUAGAUACUAUGAGGUAGCUAAGAUGGGGUGGCGUUUCUUCUGAAUUUGGGUUUGAGUGCAUCCCUGGCUGUAUUUACUAUGUCUAGUGCAAAUAUAGAAGACAAAUAACGUCAAGAUAACAGUUAAAAGUGCUUAAAGAAUCUUCCCAACUACCAUAAUAGGCUUGGCGGACAACUCCUUUUUUCAUCCCAAAUUACUUAAACGACAGUCGAUCUAACAAAUGCUAAAAGUUUGACAAGUUAUCGGAUCUUCUGGUGUUGAACUUCCCAACUGUAGUCAAACGUAUUAUAAAAUAACCUUACACUGGUUGGAUAGAAGAUAAAUUAGAGGCAACGAAGCUAUAAGUAACUAUCUUUCGGAUGACAAGUAAUCAGAUUUGAUGUAACUAAAGGUCUUCGGAACAAAUUUUCUGAACAUCCAGAGAUAAAGCCAACACGCAUAAGCUACAGACUUAUCAGGAACGGUUAAGUAAAACAUUAUAUAGAAAUAUACGUGUAAACCAAAGUGAUACCAUCUUGGUAAUAUAAGUAAACAGACAUAAUCAGAUCAAAGAAUCAAACGUUUACCUCAUAUAAUCCUGUAUCCACAACUAUAAUAUCUAAACUUCCAUGGGCAAACUUGAAUUGUUUAAGGUAGUGAUUCACCCCUCGUCCUCUAAGAGCUCGUGUCGAGUACCUACAAGUUGAAGAUGGCUGAAGAGAAAUCGGAAAGACAGUUCAUUUCAAAUGAUGAAAUCCAUAUGUAAAAGUAAAAAAGUCAGUCAACAAACUGCUUAUUCAUAGAUUAGCAUACCACGGAAUCUUCACGGAAGGAAAACGCAAAGUAGCCUGUCAAUGAAGGGAGCGGUGGAGGUGUCAGUUUAUCAUUUCAUUAAAUUCGCAAUUGCAAAUAAAGAAAUCUCAUAGUCGUUGCAGUAACGAGUUCAUUAAUACGACAAAUGGGGUGUACGGUUUGUGUUAGGGAGUGGAUUCACUUUGUCAGACAAAGUUGUCACCAUGUAUUUCUCCGGUAACUGCUACCGGGAUCUUGUCACUUAAAAGAGAAGUACGUCACAAGCAAAACAUCUUUUGCACAAGAAGAGAAGUUAGCAAUCCAUGUAUCGUAGCAGUUCUUGACAACUCAUGCGAAGCCUGAGCAGUGCGACCAGUACCCAGUCGCUAACUAGGUACCUUAGUUAACUUAGUAAAUUAUCGUACUUUGACAUAAUCAACCGAGUAAAUGGUACAUCCGAAUCUAGCAUUGUCAAAAUCAAAAUCAUAUAACCACUGAAUUCUGCACUUCGAAUGUCGUUAGAGAGCUUACAUUUUGUACAAGUGGAUCCUCCUCCCCAAGUUCGCCUAUGUUGAUAACGAAUCUUGCAUUGAACUUUUUCGCUACCUUCUCCACCUACAUUCAAUAUAAGAUUACAGAGAAAAUGAAUCAGCCGAAAAUGGGUCGACUAUUUGAAUCAUCGGUGACCAUGUCACCCCAUUUAAUCUCACUACACGCCAAUAGCACAGAUAAAAGUACUAGACGUCUCUAUAGUUUCUGCUGACAUACCUUCAACACAUACUAAAAUGACUAAAAUGUGUUCCAACUAAUUGAUAUCGCCUAGCUUUUGCUUCCAUUGUGCCUAUUUUUUCCCAACUCGGCAUGGAUUCCGAGAGAUUGUAGGUCUAAACGACUACCUCAUCCUUUUAACAUCUUCUUUCACAAUGUUUUCACAUCUAUUGACCGCCAGAACGGAGAAUUUGGAGGUCGACACUCAACCAUCUCAAGUGACUUUAUAUCGUUUUAUCCUCAACGUGUGCUAUUUGCACCUUCUUCUGAAUUUGGUCAUUUUUAAUCUUGUAUAAUUACAUAUUCAAAUGAUACGUUGUAACUGAAUUAUUCUUUGUCAACUUAAUUAUGCAAAAAAGUGGGGUCUUAGGAAGAUAGAGUGUACGCAGACCUUACCCCUACCUUAGAGAUAGAGAGGUUGUUGCCGAUAGACCCUCAACUCAAGAAGAAAAAAAAAACAGUCCAAAGCAGUGUAGAAUAAGAAAUAAUGGAAAUGAAGAAGUAAAAAAAAAAAAAAAUACUAUAGACAACCUCGCAAAUCUUCCUGAACAGUAAUCAACAUCAACAACAACAUAUCAAGUAUAAUCCCAGAAGCAGGGUCUGGAAGGAUAGUGCGUACGCGGACCUUAACUCUACCUUGGGAGGUAGAGAGGCUAUUUCCGAUAGACACUUGCUAAUCUUCACCAAACCAAAAUUCAGCUCAAAAAAACAUGUCCCAUCAAUGAACAUUCAAAUAAAAAUCAUUCCUUUACACAAAUAACCAACGAAAACUCUUUCGCUAAAUUCUUCUACUACAGACUGAACUUACACUGCCAAUCUUGAAAAACAACAUCAUAUCCAGUAUAACCCCACAAGCGUGGUCUGGAAGGAUAGUGUGUACGCAGACCUUAACCCGACCUUGAGAGGUAGAGAGGUUGUUUCCGAUAAACACUUGUCAAUCUUCACCAAACCAAAAUUCAGCUCAAAAAAACAUGUCCCAACAACGAACAUUCAAAUAAAAUCAUUUCUUUACACAAAUUGCUAAAUUCUUCUACUAGAGACUGAACUAACACUGUCAAUCUUCAACAACAACAACAACAUAUACAGUAUAAUCCCACAAGUGGGAUCUGGGAGGAUAGUAUGUACGCGGACAUAAACUGUACCAUGGGAAGUAGAGAGGCUGUUUCCGAUAGACACUUGCCAAUCUUCAAAAACAACAACAUAUCAAGUAUAAUCCCACAAGCGGGAUCUGGUAGGAUAGUGUGUACGCAGACCUUAACUCUACCUCGAGAGGUAGAGAAGCUGUUUCCGAUAGACACUUGCCAAUCUUCAAAAACAACAACGCAUCAAGUAUAAUCCCACAAGCAGGGUCUAGGAGGAUAGUGUGUACGCAGACCUUAACCCGACCUCGAGAGGUAGAGUGGCUGUUUCCGAUAGAGACUUGCCAAUCUUGAAAAACAACAACAUAUCAAGUAUAAUCCCACAAGCGGGGGGCCAGGGAGGAUGGUAUGUACGCGGACAUAAACUCUACCAUGGGAAGUAGAGAGGCUGUUUCCGAUAGACACUUGCCAAGCUUCAAAAACAAGCAACAUAUCAAGUAUAAUCCCACAAGCGGGACACAAACCUUAACUCUACCUCGAGAGGUAGAGAAGCUGUUUCCCAUAGACACUUGCCAAUCUUCAAAAACAAGCAACAUAUCAAGUAUAAUCCCACAAGCAGGGUCCGGAAGGAUAGUGUGUACGUAGACCUUAACUCUACCUCGAGAGGUAGAGAAGCUGUUUCCGAUAGACACUUGCCAAUCUUCAAAAACAACAACAUAUCCGGCAUAAUCCCACAAGUGGGGUCCGGAAGGAUAGUGUGUACGCAGACCUUAACGCUGUUUCCGAUAGACACUUGCCAAUCUUCAAAAACAACAACAUAUCCGGUAUAAUCCCACAAGUGGGGUCCGGAAGGAUAGUGUGUACGCAGAACUUAACUCUACCUCGGGAGGUAGAGAAGCUGUUUCCGAUAGACACUAGCCAAUCACUUGGGAGGUAGAGAAGCUGUUUCCGAUAGACACUUGCCAAUCUUCAAAAACAACAACAUAUCAAGUAUAAUCCCAGAAGCGGGAUCUAGAAGGAUAGUGUGAACGCAGACCUUAACUCUAACUUGGGAGGUAGAGAGGCUGUUUCCGAUAGACACUUGCCCAUCUUCACCAAACCAAAAUUCAGCACAAAAAAACAUCUCCCAACAAUGAACAUUCAAACAAAAGAAAAAACAAUCUUUACACAAAUAACCAAAAAUAGGAACAUUUUUGUCCAAGAUUGAUUAAGAAACUAACCUGUUUGAUAAGAAGUGUCUGUUCUUCAAGAUUCCUAACACCCCCUAUAACACUAAUAAAAUACAUAUCCAUAGGAAUAUCAUUCACAUUUCCAUUCCUAAUAAUUUUCUUCUGAUUUUGACUCAAGUUGAUAACAAGAAAAAGUGAUAAACAUAAAAAAAACUGAGUGAUUAUAGUACAAACCCAUGAUUUCUGCAUCAUUAUCAAUGUACCAAGAUUCAGUUUUUUUGUUUUUUUUUUCAGAUCCUAAGUUUAUAAUUAUAACUAAAUCCUAUAAAACUUGUACUUAUGUAAUAAGAUUUUGAACCACUCAGAGAUCAUGUGGAGUUAGUUUUAUUAGCUUGUUGCUUGUCAGAGUACACGUUAUAACCCACGUGGACUUUAAAUGCCAAGAUAAGAAUAUGAAAAUAAAAAUAAAAUUUAUUAAUGCUAAAAAUAAAAUAUGAAAAAAAAUUGUUUUAUAUUGAUCAAAUUAAGAAAAUAAUGACAAGUAAAUAUUAAUGGAGGGAGUAAAUGAAAAAGAUCCAGCAUAUUGAAUUUGACUAAAAAAAUAUUUGUUAUGAAUCGGACAGUAUUUGCAAACCACAAGCAAAAGGAAAAACAAGAACACAUAUAUUUACGUGAAAAUUCUUACGGGAAAAAUCACGAGUAGAAGCAGAGGAAUUCACUAUAAUGAGAGGAGUAUAAUGUGGAGACGAUAGUAAAACCCGAAACAGGUCACUAAACACACUUAUAUAAUACGUGCAUACAAAUAAAUUUUAGGCCCAACUACGCUAUCACCACAGACCUCAUGAAAAAUCACAAAACAUGAAUCACACCGCGAACUUUUUAGGACCGAAUCAAGAAAAUUGGGGUCACAAACUCUAACAAUAUCUUCAUUCCAUUAGAUCAAAAAUGUUCUCAAUUUUUUUUUUUAUUUUACAUUAUUGUUAACACGUUCUUGUUUUAUAUUUGCAAACAUGAACUACACUAAUGUAAGUUGCUACCACGUUUGUUUUUCAAUUGCAUCAAGAAUAAAUAAUUUUAGUUUUAUAUAUUAAAAGAUAGUAUACAUUAAUAUAUAUAAUAUAUGCUUCCAUUUUAGUGUUUUUUAACCAUACAAGUAAUACUUAGUUUUUUCUUAUAACUGUGGUGUCUGAGUCAGUUUGCACGCAAAACUCGACUAAAUGCAUGAGACACCUGCCACCUCUCACUGGCAACAGUCAUAGAGCUAGGCAUAAAAUACCAAAUUACCAAAUUGAACCAUCAAAUUUGAUAACUGGUAUUCAGUAAUUUGAUAUUUGAUAUAAUAUUUGGGAGUAAAAUUUUAACAUUUCGAUAUUCGGGAUUAGGUUUGGUUCAAGAUAUUAAUACCGUUUGAUAUUCGGUAUUUACCGAAUAUCGAAUUAUAUAUAUAUGUAUGUGUGUGUGAUCAACCCAAUAGACAAUAGUAUUAGUCAUUCCAAAAAAUCUCUUGAAACUUGAUAAUAUAUUCAUAAAAAGAAACAAAAAGAAUGCUAAAUAAGAUUUCUAUUAAAUAUACUCUUAAAAGUUUAAACAUACAUUUGCAUUUCUCUAACUUUAAUAUGGUAAAACCAAAUAUCGUACCGAACCGAAGUUUAAUAUAUCGGUUACCAAAUUACCAAACCGAUGUUAAACCGAUAUUCAUAAGUAUGGUAUGUGGUAUCUAUGUUCAAAUACCGAUUACCGAAUUACUGAACCUCAACUUUGAAAAUACCGAACCGAAUACCAAACGCCCACCCCUAGCAACAAAUACUAGGUAACUCUGUCCUAGUGUCUUCUACCGUCGCCCGCCUCUGAUCAGCAUUCCAAUACUCCGAAGCACACAUCAGAUACGCAGAGUAGUAAUUGACAUAUCCAUUCUCUGUUAGGAAUUAAACCUUAAACCUGAGACUUCAUGGUGCUCAUCUAACUUCAUUGAACCAAAGUAAUACCUGUAUUGUUGCUUUGCAUUACAUUCCACACAAUGUAAAUAAAUUUCUGCGUAAUUUAUGAACCGACUUAAUCGAACCUCAAUACAGAUACGAACACUGAGUAAGAACAAAAAUUAAAAAAUCCGAUUUGUACUCAGUUUGCAGAUGAAACAAACUGGAUUUGCUCCCAUUUGAAUUCAUUGCAGAGCUUUCAUUAGUCGAGGCCGCCUCGAUCGAGCAUGUCUACCAAAGUCAUCCGUCUCGGGAACCUUGGUGGAAGCCUUAAGAACAUUGCAUCCUCGAUCUCGAUUGGCAGAUGAGUGGCAACAAUGACGAUACCGCCUUUUUUUCUGUGCUCUGCGAUAAUAUACUCGAGCAAUUUCACACCUUCGUCAUCCAAUGCUACUGAAGGUUCAUCGAGCAACCAAAUAGGCCGAUCAAUGGCUAGCAAUCUGGCGAGUUGUACCCUUUUCCGUUGACCCAUAGAAAGCAUACGUGCUUUAUCGUUUACUAAUCUUCCGAGCCCCAUAAGCUGCAAAGCUGGCAGAGACCGUCCUUGCUUACCUUCAAGAACUUCGAACCAUUGAACAUUGUCGAGGACCGUGAACUUCUCUUUGAUCGCGUCCUUAAGAGAGAGCCAGUUGAGCUGGAGUUUGUACUGCUGAAAAACUCCUGAAUCGGUUAUGUCGUGACCAUUCCAAAGUAUCUCGCCAGCUGAUGGUUUCGAGAAACCAGCCAACAUACGCAAGAACGUGGAUUUACCGGAGCCAUUAGUGCCCGUUAAUACAAGUGCACCACCAUCAUGGAGGGAAACAUUAACGUGGCGCAAAAUUUGUUGAGCAUUUCUCAUACACGAGACAUUGUUCAGCAGAAGUCGAGGAAGUGGAGGUCCACGCAAAGACAUAUUCAAGUGAAUGAAGAACCAAGAUUACUAGAGAUAUAAAACUUCUUAGAUUGAGCAACCGCGGAAAACAAAAGGCAGAUGAUGCUCUUUCAAAUCUUGCUUCGAGCUGAGAAGAAAUUGCAAGAAAUAUCACGUAACCUGAAAAUUAAAAGCAAAAGUAGGAAAUUGAUAGUAACUCUGUAAACAGAUUCAAUCGGUUCAAAACAAAAACAGAUUAUGCUCCACAAAUGGAAUGUUUAAAACCACACAAGCAUUUUUCGGAGUUUUCGUUUCUUUCUUUAAAAUCACUGUCUAUUCAAACUUUGCCACAUAAAUUUAAACAUAUAAGAGUAUUACUUACACAAUUUCAGGUUUUGGGCAUAAAAUGGAUUUCCACACCAAUGUAUUUCUACUUGGUUCGCAAACCCAUUUAAGAGACUCAGUAAUUUGGAGUAUAGUCACUUACUAAGUUGCUCGGAUUCUUCAAAAAUGUCUACGGGUGCGUGUCGGAUCCUCCAAAAAUAGUGUAUUUCUGAAGGAUCCGAUACGGGUGCGGCAACAUUUUUAGAGAGUCCAAGCAACUUAGGUCACUUAGCUAUACGCUUUAGUUAGGUAUAUGUAUUCAAAAUUUCAAAUUUUCAUGAAGACCUUCAAAUCGAACAUAUUAACAGCCUACUAAAACAAGAGGUGUAGUUUCUAAGUCAAAAUUUAGCAGUUCAAAUUCUUCUAAUGAAUCGGGAGCCACAAAAUAAGAAUGGAGAAAAAAUGAAGAGUAGAAAUCAAAUAUCUUCUUCAAGUUUUCGAUAUUUUCAUCAAUCAUGACUUCAACACACAACGCUAAUAAUAUGCAAAAAAAUGAACAUCACAGUAUAUACAAUGACGACAGAAAUUAAUUUUUUGAACCAAAGAUUCAAGGUGAGUAUGUAGUUUUUAAAUGACCAUGAUGUGUGCCAAAAAAGUGAGACACGGCAUUUAAUCUAAACUGAACUUAGAACUAGUUGUAUUCUUUCCUUAAUAGGAUAAUACUCCAGUACAAUGCAUUUCUUAGAGAAUAUAAAUAAUUAUAAAAGGGACAUAUAUACUAUAGUCUAAGUUGCGCGAACUCUUCACUUUCAAUGCCGCACCCGUGUCGGAUUCUCCAAAAAUACACUACGUUGGGAGAAUCUGACACGCACCUGUUGUCAUUUUUGAGGAGUCCGAGCAACAUAGACUAUAGUAAACAAAUGGGACAGAGAAAAUGUGUGAGACUUUAUUACUAAUAGAAUAUAAAGUGAUGCCAAUCAGCUAAUCGUGUUGUUCUUGAGAGUUAAAUCAAAACACUUUUAGAUUCUCUAAUACAACAAACACAUAAUACAUAAACAAAAACACAGACUUAGCCUCAGCCCAACUUUUAGUAUGCACAUCUAGACACCACCCAAAGUCUACGUGCCACGCCAAUGUCGUGUGUCCACGACAUUUCUAGAUAUGCACUCUCAAAAUUGGGGCGCUUACUUGUCGGCUGAUGCCAAGUUUGAUUGUCUGUUUACGCAUUAUAACUUGGCCUCAUCUCCCAAGUAAAGCACUCGUGUAUGCACAUCUAGACGCGUCAACUCGUCUCCAUUGUAUAACAAAAUGAUCAUCUAGACACCUCCCAAAUUUUAACGGCCACUUCAACGUCACGUGUCCACGACAUGUCUAGAUAUGCACUCUCAAAAUUGGGGUGCUUACUCAUCAGCUGAGGCCAAGUUUGAUUGUUUAUUUAUGCAUUAUAACUUGGCCUCAUCUCUCAAGUACACACUCGAAUAUGCACAUCUAGACACGUCAACUCAUCUCUUCUGUAUAACAAAAUGAUCAUCUAGACACCUCACAAACUUUACUUGCCACAUCUCCACGAGGUGUCUAGAUGUGCACUCUCAUAGCUGGAGUGCUUACUUGUCAGCUGAGACCAAAUUUGAGCGUCCGUUUACUUAUUAUAACUUGGCCUCAGCUGUCAAGUAAGCACUCGAGUAUGCACAUUUAGACAUGUCAACUCGUCUCCACUGUGUAACAAAAUGAUUAUCUAAACACCUCCCAAACAUUACUUGCCACAUCAGCAUCAGGUGUCCACGAGGUGUCUAGAUGUGCACUCUCAAAACUGGAGUGCUUACUUGCUAGCAGAAACCAAGUUUGAGUGUCUGUUUACGUAUUAUGCCUAACGCAUAUAGUAUCAUCAUCCUUCUAAUUUUCUAGUUUUCCAAUUCAUUCAAUCAAAUAAAAAGAGGUAAAGCAUGAAAAGUCUCUCAUAGGCAUUUCAUCAAACAUGUUAUGAUCAUAACUCAAAAUCCCCAAAAAUAAUAGAUAAAAAAAAUUGUAUAUAGACAAACCUUGUGAUUUUCUACUGCAAAUAGAAUCACCACCGUCGCCGCCGUUCACCGCCGUCCGUACAGCUGGUUGUCGGAAGAGAGUUGGGCUGACUUGCUUAUGGUCUGGGAUAUUGAGAUCAUAUAUUAAAAUGGAUUAUUAUUUAUGGGCCUAAGCCCAUCUUGGAAUUUUAUUGGGCCCAAAUAAAAAUUCCUUCAAUAAGGCUUUAAAUUCAUUUAAUCGAGGAAAAAUAACGUGGAGUAAAAAACAUUAAAUCAUAAAUACCAGGCGUCGCUAAUACAAUAACAACAUAUUCGGUAUAUUUUCAUAAAGUGGGGGUCUGGGGAGGAUAAGUGUACGCAUUCCAUACCACUACUGCAGAGGUGAUAUAGACAUUGUUUCCGAUAAAAAAAUUACCAUGUGUAGCUAAUGUUUAAAAUAAUUAUCAUUUACAGGUAAGAUUUGGAUAAAUCUUGAUUUACUAUAGUUGUAAAAGUACGGUUUAUCUAAGGUACUAAAUUUGCUAAUUAUCGUAUAAAUCUUGAGUUAUUAUAGUUGUAAACGUACGGUAUACUCGUUUUGUAUGACUCACCACUCAGACUUGAUGAAACAAUUUAUUGUUAUCCUUGACACCUCAACGCUUUUUAUUUACUCAAGCCGAAACUUAUGCGCAUAAUUAAUCUAAUCGAAUGAGAGCGACAUAAUUUUUUAUAUGUAUCACCGUAUGUUAUGUAUCACCAUUUCAAAGUCGAGAUAAAAUAUAAUUAACAAAAUAGUCGAAAUUUUAUGUAAUAUCACUUAAAGAUUUUAAUGUAUAUGUGUGACACCUUAACUUAGGAGAAGGAGUCCCACAUCGGCAAAACACAGGAGGGAUGCUGGGUAUAUAAGUAAGCAAGUCUUACUCUCUAGUGACGCGUUUUAAAGUCGUGCGGGCCUGGCCCAGAGCGGACAAUAUCACUAAGGGAUAAGGAGUAAGGGCGAAGGGGUCUCUUGGACCUUUGUGAUUCGAGAUGUCCAUCGCGGCCAAGACCUCGGCUCGGAUCGUGACAAAUAUGCAUUCUCAUAUCAAUGAAGUUUAACCCAAAUUGGUGAAUAUAUCACCAUCUAGUUGAUUCCACACACACGAAAAAGGCCUAAUUCAGGGGUAAAGCUAGUAAAAUUAGUAAAACGUUUGCUUCAAGCCCCAAAUUUUAUUUUGAUGUCUAAAAAAAAUUAAUAGUAAAUUUUAUGAUUUCAAUUUCACUUGAAAUAAUAAUGAAGAUUGUGAAAUACAUUUUAAAAAAUUAUCCUAAGAAAUACAAAAAGAAAGAGAUACCUAAUUUUUACUAGAAAAUAUUUUAGAACUUUGAAUUAAAGAGAAAAUACUCAAUUACCCCGAACUAUACCCGAAAGAGCUGUGACACACCUCAACUUCAGGGGGUUCUAUUACCUAGAAAACUAAUUAAAAGUAGAAUUUUCACCUCCUUAGUGCCUAUGUGGCACAUACGUGUGCCUAUGUGGACACUUCAGUGUGUUGUGCUACGUAAACGUUAUUUAUGUGCCACAUAGGCACUAAGGGGGUGAAAAAUUCAUUUUUGAUUAGUUGAGGGGUAAUAGGCCCCCUUGAAGUUGAGGUAUGCCACAACUUUUUUGAAUAUAGUUCAGGAGUAAUUGAGUAUUAUCUCUUGAAUUAAAUAACCCAAACUUUAUAUUAAUAAUUAAUAUUUUAAUAAUAACAUACAAGCUUAAUAUAUUGAAAUAAAUGACUAACAUCUUAUUAAUUAGAAUGAAUCUUUCUGACUGUUAUUAUAAUACUGUUAUUUUUAUAUGUAUACUUAUAUAUGCAGGUCGUCUAAAUUAUUCUAAUACUACUCCUUCGUCCCAUUUUACGUGUGUCAUUUUCUUUUUAGUCCAUUCCAAAAGAAUGUUGUAUUUUCUUAUUUGAUAAUUAUUUAAAGAUAUAAUUUUACUUUUAUCUUUAUUUAUUCCAUUUAAUUAAUAAAAAAAAAAAUACUAGCACAUUUUUUGAUAAAGAAUAAUAUUAUCAAGUCUUCAAUAACUUCAUAUCUGGUCAAAUAGCAAUACAUAAAAUAAAAUAAAGAUAGUAUUAUUUUUUUAAAAUUUAACUUUAUACCACUAAUUUUAACAAACAAUGCCGGCCUAAAUCUCCGAAACACACUCAUAAAACAAAAAAAGUCGACACUCACAAUAUUUCCGUUUUUCUAUAAAACCGUUAGACGAAUUUUACCUUGAGUAGGCGCACAAAUUUAUUGUUGAGAAAAAGAAGAAGAAGAAGACGAAGAAUUACUGGUACACCUGAGAACAGAAAAUGGCAGGUUUAUUGGCAUGGGCAGCAGAUGUAGUAGGAGGUGGGAAAAGCAAUGAGGAAGAUGACAACCCAAAUUCAAUCCCUUUAAUUUUCACUCCACAACAACAAUCUUACUUAAUAGAUUUGGAUCGAAAAGCCACUUCUCUUACUCGUACGAUCCAAGAUCUACGGCUUAGACUCCCUCCACCUGACAUCUCAGAGCGUCUUCCUCAUCUACACGCUCAUUCCCUCGCCUCUAAUAACGCUCUUGCUCUUCAGCUUAAUGCUCACUCCGCCACCAAAGAACAGGUUUUUCUCUUGUUUUACUCACUUUAAUAGUUUUUUUUUUUUUCGAAACAUUGUUAUGAUUAGCGCAGGUUUACUUUUCAGUACUUUUUCAUUUCGGUUUGUAAUAAUUGGACUGGACAUUAUAUUUUUGGACUGGUUUUGUUUUGUUUGUUUGAUUGAUUGUUUUUGUGUGGUUUAUACAUUUUCUAUAGCAUCAAAUUAGCCGAUACGUUCCACCAAGCGAUUGUUGUCAAACCACGGGAUCAAGGGCUGCCUAACACCUAUUGAAACAUCACGUGAUAUAUUAGUCAGUAUUUCUGGUUUUAUUUUGUUUGCUUGAUUGAUUGUUUUUGUGUGGUUUAUACAUUUUGUAGUGUCAAAUUAGUCGAUACGCUCCACCAAGCGACCGUGAUCGAACCACGGGAUCAAGGGUGCCUAACACCUAUUGAAACAUCACUUGUAAUAUUAGAUAUUUCUUUUGUGAUAAUCUCACAUCUGAGGUAGUGGUAUGGACUGCUUACACUUAUCCUCCCCAGACCCCACUUGGUGGGAAUAUACUGGGUAUGUUGUUGUUGUUGUUAUUUCUUAUGUGAUAAGGAAAAGAGGAAGGACCAAUACGUACAGGGGGAUAAGAUAUUCUAGAUAUAAAUAGGUGUCGUCAUUAUACUAAUGUCAAUAUGCAUCAUUUUGUUGUGCACCAAGAUAUAUGGUAUACUAGGAGGUCAGCUUACCUUCAUUGAGAGAGCAAGUGCUGCAAGUUUGUAGAAGGUUCAUUCUUAAUUGCUUUAUCACACUGGAUAACACAUUAUAGAUGGUAGAUGUCAGAAGAACCCACACAACCCAGAUUAGAGAUAUUGGAUUUUGGUAUAUCUUACCAAUUGGUUAGUGGUAGAGCAUAACACCUUGCUUAACGUAUCACACAGUUUUCAUGUCGAAGAAUUCACUGAAGUUCCUGCAUAGAUAUCAGAGCAUCUUCUUCUUCUCAUUGCUCAUCUGAUUUCUUUUUUCGGUGAGGAUGUGUUAGUACUUUUCUUUGUCCGGAGCCGGGGGUCUAUCGGAAACAGCCUUGCUACCUCUCUGGAGGUAGUGGUAUGGACUGCGUACAUUUUACCCUCCCCAGACCCCACUGUGUGGGAAUACACUAGGUUUGUUGUUGUUGUUGAUGUGUUAGUACUUUGGAGGGUGAAAUUAUGACUUGGUUUUCUGGAAAUCUAUUUUACGAUGUUAUUGCUUAAUUAUUUCUUUUGCUUUCU